CUUGACUGAAUGAAACCAUCUGCCCAGAUACGUGGUCCCCCUGAGAAACCUUCACAUGGCCCCAGCAUGAGCAUGGCCAACCAUGGAAUGAAGUCCUCGAAUCCAAAAACUCCUGGAGUCCAAACAUCUAGAAACAAGGAAUCUGAUAGACAUCUGUUUAGCUCAUCAAAAAAUAUAUGGCCUAAACCACCCUUUUCUACCAUUGCCAUGAUGAUGUGGCAUCCAAGGCCUGUGGGAACGACAACCCAUUAUAGGCAUCUUGAGACAAAUGGAUCUGAUCUGUUGAGUUUGAACUACAAUAGAAAUGGGUUUGAUGGAGUCCUGCGAAAGGACAUUAUGCAGUGGUUGCUGCAAAAGUGAAGGUAGAAGCUUUUCAGACACCUGUUAGUUUCUGAAGUUUUAAUUGCCAAUAAUUCAGUUAAAAUAUCUCACUCAAACCGCUCGCAUUAUUGGACUCCUAAAUUUGAAAUUCAUCCAUGCGGGUUAUGGUCCUGUUGCUUGAUCAUCAAGCCUUGAUCACUAAUUACUGAAGGGCUGCGUGCUGCGAAAGCUGGCAAAGCUAGGUUUUAGUUGUUUUGCUUCUUUUCUGAAAGAUAGUAAUUGUUCUCUCCGUUUUCAGUGACUCUAGGUUUUGUGUUUCCGAACCAGUAACUGCAUAGUUGCAUCUGGUAAUGUUUGUUUGUUUCUUUGUUUGUGAAGCACAUUCCUCCAGAUUGGAAACGGCUGUGGUGAUGGCGAUCAUCUUUCUCUGUACUUGGCUUUUGGAGAUUCCACAGUCAAGGUGAUUAAAGUAUAUAUAUAUGCAGAGCAUCCAUUGCGAAUCAUAGAUCAAGUGGGGGCAAAACAUAAAUCUUUUCGAGGUAAAAUAUCUGUGUUUACAUGCAAUUAGUAUUUGGGGCAAAUCCAAUGACUAUAACGAGAAUGUUCCUUUUACUCUAGUAGAGAAUAAAGACUAGUUCAAUACACCAAGCGAUAACUGGGGCUGGCCAAGAUUCGUUUCAUUGAGUGAGUUAGAUGAGCCAGAGACUGGAUUUCUAGUGAAUGGCGUUUGCGUGGUGGAAGCUGAGGUCACUGUGCUUGGAAUUUCCAAGCCAUUAUAACAAGUAAUUAAUUGUCCUCCAAAUGGGUUCUUUUAUUGUGUGAUGCCGACUGCCUGGCUAAUCUAGGAAAUUUAUUUUAGCUAUCAGGAAAUUUAUUUCUCUUGUGGUUUUCCAAAAUAACUCUUACGUUGCUUAUUGUUUAUUUUCCAAAAUAACUCUUACGUUGCUUAUUGUUUAUGCUGUCAAGCUAACUUUUUAGUGUUAUUUUGGUGUUCUAUUUCUCUGCAUCUCUUUAAGGAGAAAUUCAUUAUAUCCCCUAUGCUGUAAUUCUUCUCUUCUAAGAUUUUGAUUUAAAAGAAAAAGAAAAAUGAAAAAAAAAAUAGUGAAACGAAGAAAAUUAGGAUGCAAGAGAACUAAUAACUUCAAUUACUAAGAAAAUGAAAACCAAGUAGAAUUGAACCUCGUUGAAUUAAUAUUGAUAAAUUGAUAACUCCUAUUAAAUAAUAGUUUUCUUCAGUUUGACUUAGAGUCAAUAUGGUAAAUUAAUAAUUUGAUAAAUUUUAUUAGAUAAUAUAUUUUUUAAAAAAAUAUUUUUCUAUAAGACCCAAUUAAUAUAGGUAUUAAUAAUUAAUUAAUUUAAAAUUAAAUACAUAUGAUAUGUCUAUGAUUUUUUUGUUGUAUUGGCAUAAUGCUUUAUGUAUUUUAUUGAUCAAUAUUACUUUUUUUACACUUUUCAAUUGAGAAGUUAGUGUUGUAUCAUAUGUGUUGUGGUAAGAUAAAUAAGAGAGAGAGAGAGAGAGAGAUUUAAUCUAUUGCCUCAAAAAAAUCUCAGUUGAUGAGUUACCAUGUAAUUGUGAUCCAACUAUACGAUCUGACCAAAGAAUUAUCAAAUGAUUGAUUCACUCAAUCAAGAUCGAAUUAAAAUCCUAUCAUACAACAUGAUAAAAUCACUAAAUUUUCUAAUUAUACUAGCUCAGAAUCACUAAAUUCUUUAAUUAUACUACCACUAUAUUUCAUAAAAAAAAAUCCGAUUAUCAACGUGAUAUUAUUUCUAUAAAGAUAAAUUAAUAUUUAUUCAUUUAAUGGAUAUAAAAAAAUACCGACCAUUUUGUUCUUGGAGCAAUGGCGUUUCCUGUGUAUAAUAGGAGCUUUAGUUUUUUAUUUAAAAGAAAUAAUGAAGAAAAAACAUGUCGUUAUCAGUACCACCAACUCAAUUUGCAAUUAAAAAAGGAGAAGAAAUUAAUCGACAGAAACUCACUUCCUGCUCUUGGUUCAUUUCAUGUUUGCAAGCUUAUGCUUCUACCAGGUGAAUCCAACAUGGAAUUGGAAAAAAUAAUGAAGUUAGAAAUGACAAUAACAUAAAAAGCUUUGGAUUCCCUCCGCCAAACUAUUACUUGAAAAGAAAAUGAGGGAAAAGCCUAGGAUCUCCGGCGAGAAUCUUAACUCUCAAGAUGAGACCAGAUAAUAAUGUAAUACUAGAGAGAUAACGUGAAAGGGUAACUUUCCGUAGCCAUAGAAGCAAAUUAUGUAAACCAAAAUUAUCCCAGCAAGCCAAUAUGAAUUCUUUCCACCUCAACCUGUUCAAAAACAGAGCAAGAUAAAGCUUAAAUGUCAAAAGAAGUGAAUCUUUUCAAUAAUGUGAAAGUAAAUAAAACAAUAGGGUAAACAAUUAUGAUUUUUCCUAAUGCUUGCGUAAACAAUCAUGACCGAGGAAAACUUUCCAGAAAUAAGAACAGUGAAGACAUGAUUCACAGGCAUUAAACCCAAUAAAAUCCCUCACCAAUAUUUACCUCAUUAAAUUUUAAUGCCACCUACAAAUGGGAUGAUAGAACAAGUUGUCAUUCACAUAUUGCUUAUUCAUCAAUCUCUUCACCUUUGGUUAAAGUCGGGAGGUAACAUUCAAUUUGUGCAGGAACCAACAAACAAAAGAUGCAUUUUUUCGUAGUAUGAAGACAAUUGAACCAACGAGCGUGAAGCACCCCCCCCCCCCCCCCCCCCCCCCCCAAAAACAAAAAAAGAAAAAGGAAAAAAAGAAAAUUGAUGACCCACCUCAUAUGAUUUUAGUAUGCUUGGUAGUAUCAUUUUUUAUAAAUUUCUGAGACUUUGUUUUCGGGUUAUGGUUAUAAGUUUUCGGGUCCCACGUCACAUGAUUUUCGGCCAAGCAGAAUUUAGUUUCCCUCCCUUUUGUCAGUCAAUCUGUUUCAGAAAUUUUGAUGGUGAUCAAAUCAAAAUUUCUGCUUCUAUUCAUGUAUCAGUGCAAUAAGUGAGCUACUGAUAAUCGUGGCUCUGAUUUGGACUUCAGUACCUUUGACAUUAUAUGCGAGGGAGGAAGGUUAUGUUCUUUUGGGGUAUUACUGCUCCAUUAACACUUUGCCCAUGUUUGAGUAUCAUAUUGGCAUAUUUACGUUGAUUAAUUAAUUAACAUAAAUAUAUCAUCUAAGCUGCUAUGCACAACGCUAUGGUUGGAUCUAAUUAGGAUUCAAUAAUAUCGUAUUUUUCAAUAUUAACUUGGGGAUAUCCUUUCGAUCUAGACUUACUUCAGCUUUGAGCUUUGAAGUACAUUUUAAUACUUGCACAUUAUUAUACAUGCGAUUAAUAGCUAUUUAUUUGUUACGUUUACUUUAAUUAUUAACAAUCAAGAAAUUUCUUCCCACAAAAUAAUCUGUGAAAUGAACAAUCGCUACAUGAGCUUAGAAUUUUCUAAGCGAUAAAACGCAGUACCUCCUCCCAGUAAUUUUAUUUUUCUUUUAUUUAAAACGACUUCGUGCUGUCCAAGUUACCAAAAAUAAAAAUAAAAAUUCAACAACUUUUUGGAGAACUUUUCGGAAUGGAAAAUAUCUUUAUUUAACAAAGAUGGUAUGUAUGUUCAACCUUUUCUCACGUUCUCUAGAGGACAAUAUUCUUAAAAUUUUCAGCUUAUUGUUAUUUCUAAUCAAUCGGUGUUAAUUAAAAAUUACUUAAAUGUAUAGCCAUUGCAAGAUACACUUCACUACCACCGGCUCAUUACAUUGUCAAAAUAAAAUCAUUUUCAUUACUUGCGGAAAAAGCAGAAGAGGAAUAUGAAUCAGGAGAAUUUGAAGUUGGAGGAUACAAGUGGUACAUAUAUAUAUAUAUAUAUUCUUAUCCUUAAUAACACAAGUUCAUUUACUUUGGAUUGGGAAGUCUCAGCAGUUUUUCGUCUGUUCUUACUUGAUCAGAACCAAGAAAACUACUGUGUAGUUCAAGGUUAAAUCAAAUUUAGUGUGCAGAAUUGUAUAUUGCAACAUUAGGAAAAAAAUUUGAAUGCAUGCAUAAUGAGUGGUUGCUUGUAAUGUGAUAGAUAUCAUGGGAAAGGAAAGACGGUUUAAUGGACUGAAGCAUGUAUGGGGUUUUGAUAAAUUUAUCCCGCUUAGAGCUUUCAAUGAUGCUUCGAAUGGAUACCUUGUCGAAGAUACGUGUGUUUUUGAAGCUGAAGUCCUUGUUAAAGAAAGAAACAAAUUCAAAAGAGAGUGCCGAUCUAUAAAAGAAAUUUCAAUUAGUUGUAAGUGUGUUUGGAAGAUCGAGAACUUAGACGCAGGAUAUGAGGAAUCACAAGUUUUCGAUGCUGGAAAUCACAAAUGGUAUCAAAGAUUUUAAUUUUUUUUUAAUUUCUACAGGUAUAAUAAAUAAUGAGUUCUUGGGACAAAGUUGUCAGUGAGUGUAUGUUGGAGACUUAACACAUAUAACACUAAAAAAACACACUAUUUUAUUUCUUCAAUAACACUCCUCACCAACUACAACUCUUAUUUUUCACUCUCUACAACUUAGAGAUUUUGUUACUUCACUUGAUACUUAAACCAAAGGGGAGAGGGGGUAUUUAUACAUAAAACAAACUAAUCACAACCAUUCAUUUAUUCAACUAAUAAACAAAUCUUCACCAUCCAGUAAAACCUAUCACUCACCUACUUCACUAACCACACCUACCACACCUAACACAAAUAAUUUAAACCUCACCAACUUUCCAUGAGUUGGGCUUGAAUUAAUUCAUCUUGGAUCAAGUUUAUGAUCCAACAGUGUACAAUUAAUAAAAUACCGUUUCGGUGUUUUUAGGAAGACACAGCUACACCCAUGGGAACUGGGCCCAAUGCUGGCGAUUGUCUUUCCUUGUUCUUGGUUUUUGGAGAUUCCACAGUUCGGAGUACUGUUAAAGUAUACGCAGAGUUUACAUUUCGAAUCUUAGAUCAAGUUCGGGCAAUGCAUGAAUCUUCUUAAGGCACAUUGCUUGUUUUAAUACGCAACUAAUUUAGUUGCCACUAGCAGCUUGACCGAGUGAUUUUCAAGCAGGUUUCUUUAACUUUUGAUUUUGAAAGUACCUUUAACCCAAAAUAAUAAUAAUAAGCUUAAUUUGAGGCUAUAGAAUUCAAAUAAUGUGUAUAAUGAGAAUGAUUCUUUUUCUCUAGGAGGUAGAGAAAGGUUCCAUGCACUAGGCGAUAAUAAGUGGGGUUGGUCGAGAUUCGUUUCAUUGAGUAAGUUAAAUGACCCAGAGAAUGGGUACCUUGUGAACGACGUUUGCGUUGUGGAAGCUGAGAUCACUGUGCUCAGAAUCUCCGAGGCAUUGUAAUAAUAAGUAUUCUUCUUUGUUUCUCACAAAAUAAAGAAAUUCAUUGAUUUUUUGCUUACUUAUGCGAUCACGUUUGUUCAUUGACAUAAUUCUUAAUCCUGGAAGGAAAUCUCUGACAAUCUUAAUCCUGAAAAAAAAUCACAUCUAUCAAAUAUUACCAAGUGAGAUGGUGACAAAAACUCUUAGUUUUUAAUUAAAGAGAAGUAUUGAUAAGAUAAAUUUAGUACAAUAGGGCAAGAAAUUAAUAUUGCAUAAAAGGAAUAUCAUUUAUGGACAUUUAAGAAUGCGAAAGAGGUAGUUUCUAAACUAAAAAAAAGGAUCAGUAGCUAAAGUACUACUUAGUUACGUUUCACAAAAAUAUGUUACUGCAAAAUAAGAUAAUUAAUUUGGUGAAUAUCAAUGGUUAUGACAGUCCACAACAGUGAAUUAGAUAUUAGAUUUUUAUUUGUGCUUGAUAAAAAAAGAGACAAGUUCUUGAUUCUUCAAGGUUAAUUAUUAUACUCAACAAUGUUUAUUUUGUUCUUAUUUAAUUAUUUAACUAAGAGCUAAUCAAUGAUUUGGGGUCACCUUCAUGUAAUAGAUGCCAUGGGAAAUGAAUUAGGUUUUGAUCAAUUCAGAGUUUAACGAUGCUUCGAAUGGAUAUCUUAAAGGACACACGCGUGUUUUUAUAGCUGAAGUCUUUGCUAAGAAAGGAAUAAAGGCAAAGGAGAGUGCCUUUCAUGAUGAGAUUCACAACUGCUUCCAUUUAUAAGCAUGCAUGGAAGAUCGAGAACUCUUCAAAGUGCAGUCAAAGCGUUACGAAUCAGAAAUAUUCAUUGCUGGAGAUCAAAAUCUAGAUUUGAUGCUCAAGUCCAGACAUUCAGAGUUCAUAAAAUCUCGGUUCGAACUAUAAUCAAAGUUGUACAACUCUAAUAUAUAAUAGCCUAAAUCUAGACAUCUGUACCUGAACAGGACUAAUACUUAAGGUUGAUUUAUACAUGUGCCUUAUAUUUCUAAUGGUAAUGCGGAAGAAAUUAGAAUAGUACAACUUGUUAAAAAGGUGCAUCAUGUUAAAACCACUUCUUCAAAUGUAUAAUGUAAAUGAUUUGCUAAAAUUUGUUUGUUUCUCUGUUAAUAUAUAUAAACUAAAUGCCACAUUUGAAAGUUAAUGUUUUAAUAAUUUGUUAAGUGGAACCUCUUAGUAAUUAUGUACAACUAAAUGCCGAGACUUAAACUUUACCCUUGUUGAUUUUUUCAGGAAGAUAUACCUCUAUCCCAAGGGACAGAGACAAGGACAUGGCAGUCAUAUUUCUAUGUACCUGGUAUUUGGCUGACUUCUCAACUAUAACUCGUGGUUUUUAAAAAUACCUUUGUUUCACAUUGCAAAUCCAAGAUCAAGUGUAGUCAAAGCAUAAUCAUAAAACUUUACCCUUGUUAUUAUUAACCCAAACUUUAACAGGUAUUGAAGUUCAUCAAUAAGCGUAGUAGCUAAAUACAGAUAACUUCAGGUUUCUAUUGUUGUUCCUGCAGCCAGUACAUGGUUUAGGAACUCAAUCGAAGAUUGGGGCUGGCACUAAUUUGUUGAACUCAGUUACUUGAACAAGGCAAGCAAUGGUUUUCUUGUGAACGAUGUGUGCAAUGCUGAAGCAGAGGUGUCUGUGCUUAGAAUUUCCAAAGCCCUGUAAUAUGCUCUAAUAAGCAUUGCUACUCUUGCAAGAAAAUUGGGAUGCCAAUUUUUUAAUUUUAUUUCUUAUAAUAAGAGUUAAUCUCAUCGUACCCAAAUAUUUUGACAAAGAAAUUCAAUUGUUGCCGCUCGAUAAUUGGUUGUUAAGUCUCCAAACGGAGACUACAUGAGGAUGCCUUCUUAUGGGUUUAGCCUGCGAUAUCUUAUUCAUUGUUGCUUUUUUUUUUCUCUCUAUAUUCUGCCAGUCGCAAUAGGUAAGGUACUAUAGACUUUUUUUAUCUUACGAAUGUGAAAUAAAAUGAAUUUAAAUCAAUAAGUAUUUACAGAACACUUAAGUGCUGCUCAACCAUAGUACUAAAUCGGGCUUAAAUUUUGGAAGCUAAUUAUAUUAGUUGAUAAUAGAAAAUAGACAACUAAAAUAUUGCUUCAGCUCGUCGAAAUACACGGUUUUUGAGUGGAGGGUACAUAUUUUUGUUCAUUUGUACUGUAGUUGUUUUCUUGCCUCUUACCAUCCAUUCUUGCAACCAAGCAAAGAAAUCAAUAUUCCUUGAUCAAACCAAACAAAUUAAAGAAUCAAUAUCCCUUUUCCCCCAUUGCAUUCCCCUUUCCAUUCCAUUCUUGCAACCAUCAUUUUCCAAAACUUGGUGAAUACCAAUAGUCAUUCUAACUCUUUCUAGAAAUUUAAUGUUGAAUUAUAUAAACCCUCAACCUUGAUGCUUUAUAUGUACCACGGUCCCUUUUAGAUAUCUUAAAGAAGCAAUAUUACUCUUGAGAGAAUACCCUAGCCCUUGAAGAACCUUAUUAUAAUCAAUCUUUCUUCAGUACUAGUUUUAGUACUUGAAGAUUUAUAAUAGUUUGGAGGAAUUUGCUGCAAUGGAAAAUGACUUUGUAGACCAAGUUGGUAUGUUCUCUGACUCUUUCCCCACCUCCCCUUCUCUAUCUAUGUUUAUAUAUGUGCAUUGAAAAUUUCUAGCAUGUUAUUUUCUGAUCAAUGUUAAAAUUACUCUUGACAGCAAUUUCGAGAUCCAUUUCACAUGUACCACCGGCACAUUUCUUACUCAAAAUAGAGGCAUUUUCAUCUCUUGUGGAGAAUGACGUGGAAAAUUAUAAAUCCUUGGAAUUUGAUGCUGGAGGCUACAAGUUGUGUGGCCCAAAACCUAAUUGUACACUAUAUUCAGAUCACCUUAUUACUAAAUUACAUAUCAUAAUCUAAUAUGUUAUUUUGAAUUCAUGAUGGUUUCAGGAAACUUGUUGUCUACCCAAAUGGAAAUAAAAAUGAAAAUGUGAAAGACCACAUCUCAGUCUACUUGGCUAUGGUAGACACAAGUUCACUUGGCCAUGGUUGGGAAGUCUAUGUGAUUUUCCGCCUAUUUGUGCUUGAUCAGAAGAAAGACGAGUUCUUGAUUCUUCAAGGUUAGUUAUUACACUCAAUAAUGUUUAUGAUUGUUUUGUGCUUAAUUAUUUAAGUGAGACCUAACCAAUGAUUUGGGCCGGUCACCUCCAUGUGAUAGAUGCAAUGGGUAAACAAAGACGUUUUCAUGGAUUAAAGCUUGAAUGGGGUUUUGAUCAAUUCAUCCCGCUUGAAGAAUUUAUUAAUGCUUCGAAUGGAUAUCUUGUGGGAGAUACGUGUGUUUUUGGAGCAGAAGUAUUUGUUAAAGAAACGAAAGAAUGCACAGGAGAGUGCCUUUCCAUGACGAAAUUGACAUCUGCUUCCAAUUAUAAGCUUGUUUGGAAGAUCGAGAACUUUUCAAAGUUAGAGGACAUGUUUUAUGAAUCAGAAGUAUUCGUUGCUGGAGAUCAAAAGUGGUAUGUAUACUUUUUGAAAUGGUGUUCAAAUCCGGACAUUCGGAGUUCAUAAAAAUCGAAUUUAAAAUAUGAUCAAAGUUCUACAUUUAAUAGCAAUUUAAAACUCUAAUAUAUCAUAGACUAAAUCUAGACCCGAGCAUGGCUAACACUUUAGGGUUUAUUUGUACGUCUGCAAUAGAUUUCUGAUGCAAAAGAAAUUCUUUUGAGUUUUGAAUAAUACAACUUGUUAAAAAGAUGCAUCAUGUUAAAACCACUUCUUCAAAUGUAUAAUGUAAAAUGAAUUGUUAAAAUUUGUUUGUUUCUCUAUUCACAUGUAUAAUCUAAAUGCCACAUCUAGAAGUUAAUGUAUUGAUAAUAUGUACAAUUGAAUGCAGAGACUUAUACUUUACCCUUAGUAGAUUUUUUUUUAGGAAGAUACUACUCCUUCCCAAAGGACUGGGAGAAGCUAAAGGCAGUCAUAUUUCUAUGUACUUGGAAUUGACUGACUCGUCAACUAUAACUGGUGGUUCUAAAAUAUACGUGCAUUUUACACUGCGAAUCCGGAAUCAAUUGCUGUCAAAGCAUUAUGAAAAAAAAGGUAAAUUAUUAUGAACCCAGACUUUAACAGGUAAUUCAGUUCAAUAAGUUUUGUAGCUAAAUGCAAAUAACUUAAGGUUUCUAUUCUCGUGUUUGCAGCUGGAGAAUGGUUAAAUACCUCAGACAAAUUUGGGGGUUGGACAAAAUUUGUUGAACUCAAUUACCUGAACAAGGCAGGAAGUGGUUUUCUUGUGAAUGAUGUGUGCAUUGUGGAAGCAGAGAUGCCUGUGCUUGGAAUUUCCAAAGCCCUGUAAUAUAUAUUCUAAUGAGCAUUGCGACUCUUGCAAGAAAAUUGGGAUGCCAAUUUUUAAUUUUAUAUCUUCUAAUAAGAGUUGAUCUCAUUGGACCCACCUCUUUUGGCAAAGAAAUUCAGUUGUUGACGCUCGAUAAUUGGUGGUUAAUUGGUUCUUAAGUCUCCACAUGGAGAUUCCAUGCAGCUGCUGUUUUAUGGGUUUAGCAUGUGAUAUCUAAUCCACUGUUGCUUUUGUCCUCUUUGUAUUUCGCUUUAUAGUCGCAACUAGUAAACCCGGUGGUAGACCCACACGUGGGUUAUACCGAACUGUGGUCUGGUCUAGUCCAGAAAAAAUCAUUUAUACCCCUUACAUUUUUAAUUAAUUUAGUAAAAUUAAAUCAUCCUAAAAUGUUGGCAUAUGCAUCUAAAUACUUUUCCAAGGAUGUUUUAAUAAAGUGUCAUUCAGGUAAAAUGUCUAAAUUGGAUGCAAUUGCAAUUGGCAACGAAUUUGCCAAAUUUAAGAAGAAAGAGAUGGGGUCCUCUAAAGCAGGAUUUGGGAGAUCUAAGGUAGGGGUUAGAGUAGAAGACCUAAUUUAGUGUCAGCCCAUUUUAAAAUAAAAUCUUGGGUGUGUUUUACACAAUCUUGCACUUCAUUAUCAUCUAUGAAAGUAUGCCUUUAUAUAAAUAAGAGAAAAAAAACCUUAACUUUCAAAUCACAUAAAAAAAAAUAAAAAAUACUUAAGUACUGCUCAACCACAAUACUUAAUUGAACCUAAAUUUUGCAAGUUAAUUAUAUAAUAUUUGGUAGUAGAAAACAAAACAACUAAGAUAUUGCUUCAACUCGAUGAAAUAUACAUUUUCUAGUGGAGGAUAUUUUUAUUCAUUUGCAUUAUAGUUGUUUUCUUUCCCCUUGCCAUUCCAUUUUUGUAACCAAACGAAAGAAUCAAUAUUCCUUGACCAAACCAAACAAAUUAAAGAAAUCAAUAUUCCUUUUCCCAUUCUAUUCCCCUUUUCUUUACCCUUAGCUUUCCAUUCCAUUCUUGCAACCAUCAGUUUCCAAAAUUUGAUAAAUAUCAACAGUCAUUUUGACUCUUUCUAAAAAUUUACUCUUAAAUUGUAUAAACCCUUAACUUUGAUAUGCUUCUAUAUACCAUGGUCCCUUUUAGAUAUUUUAAAGAAAAAAUAUUACUCUCGAGAGAACUCUAACCCUAGAAAAAUCUUAUUAUAAUCAACUUUCUUCGGUACUAGUUUAGGUACUUGAAGAAUUAUAGUAAUUUGGAGGAAAUUGUUGCAAUGGAAAAACAAGUUGGUAUGUUCUUUGAAAUGGUGCUUCGGUCCAAACGUCCCUACCAAGUUUGGAUUUAAGCUAUGAUCAGACAGACGUCCAAACUUGAGGAUAAUUAUAUCUAAUUAGGGUCCAAAAAUACACAGGUGUGAUAUAAUUGAUGCAAAAGAAAUUCUAUCAUAUGAAAAUGAUUUGUUUGUUAAUAUCUUUACUCAUAUCAUCUAAUUAAUUAAAUGCCUCAUCUAAAAAUGAGCCCUUAGGCCAUGUUUGCUUGGGGGUAGAGGAGUGGGGAGAGGAAAAGAAUUUGAUUUCUUUUUCACUUUCCACUAUUUGGUUGGACCAAAUUCAAUAAAAUUGAAUUUCCAUUAGAUUGAAGAAUUUGUAUUCCUUAUCAAUGGGUAAGGAUUUCGAAUUUCUCAUCUAUUGGAAUACAAAAAUUCCAUUAUUAUUCUCUAAUAAAAAUAAUUUAAAAUAAGUUAAAAUGAAAAUAAUUUAUAUUUAUUUUCUUAAAUUAAGAGGAUAAUUUAUUUUAAAAAAGAAAAAGCACUAAGGUGAAUCGCCAGACCGUCACUGAAGACUCGCUGGAGAUGCAUUUCACUAUCAAAACCAGUACCAAUGGAAUCCUUGUGAGCCGAUCUACAACUCUAUGGAGUUAGAAAUGCUAAUAUACAUUAUUACUUACCUCAAAUCUUGUUUAAAUAUUUGGGAAUAUUUUAACUCCCAUAUUUCCAACUAUAUAGUGUAUUUUCUGCAAAAUUAACACUUCCAAUGAGUAAAUCGUCCAUUUUUUUUUUAUCAUUAUUAUGUAUUUAACACGAUAAAAGAUGGCGAUUAGCAUCGAUAACGCCGGUCAACGGCGGUGUAAUUUUUAUUUUAAAAAAUAAAAUUCUCUAUUUAACUAGGUAAUUUCAACCUGGAAGAGAUGUAGAGGGCUUUUUUCUAUUAUUAAUAUUUUUUAAUUUUAAAAAUGCCAUAAAAAAUACUAUGAAAUACAUUCAUCCAAUAUAACAACACAACUUAAGUACCUAAAUACCUAUUUUUUCCCCCCUAUCUCUCUCUCAAUUUUUUGAUAUUUUUUCUUUUUUUUAAAAAAAAAGUUACAGACUUUUUUAAUUUAAUUCCUUGCUCGUUAUAAUACGUAGAUAAAUUGUUUAAUUAUAGUUAGAUAGUCAUGGAAUAAUUAACAAAUUGUUGAAUCAUAAUCUGUAUAUUUUCGAUAAUAUUCGAGCAAUUAAAAGAAUUAAUUAAAUAAAACCAAACGUAGAUCGAGAAGGAAUAUGAGUAUCAUAAUUACGUAACCAUUGAGGUCGAGACUGGUUGUCACCUUGAGAAAAGGUCGCGCAACCAUAUGUAAUGGGUGUAGGCAGAGGCCGAGAGGCGUGCAUUUGGCAGUUCCAAUAUAAGGGCAUUUUAGACUUUUCAUCACAUGUUUUGUAUUCGGUGCAAAAUUUAAAUUCCUCAGAAUUUCCUCUUUAUGUACGUAUAGAAGCUCACAGAAUAAACAGUCGAACACUCAAGACCGAAACGUGAUGGGUGACGAAGAUCGAACUUUCUGGCGGCUUGAAUCAAAGAAUCCAUAGAUUUUACUUGGGAGAAAAGAAACGUCAAAAUAUAAGAAAAAAUAUACAAAAUAAAUAAACAUAAAACUAGAAAAAAGAAGUGCAUAAAUACACUCACAGAGAGAGACUCAGAGAGAGUGAGAGAGAGAGAGAGAGAGAGAGUUCUAGCAAGGGAGAGAAUGGUGCUGUGGGAGAUCACAUUGGGAACAGCGUAUUUCUUGGGACUGAAGCGGACUUACAGGCUUGCUUUGAGGAUUCAGCGUCGCGUUAUCAGCCCUAAGCACCCUCGGAUUCGUCAAUUUGUUCACCGGUGUAUUUGUGUCGUUUUAUUAUUAUUAUUAUUAUUUAAUUAUUUUGUUUUGAGUUUGAUUCUGAUUAAUUUGUAGCUUGAUGGGUCAGCUAUCAAUAUGGUUAUUAGCGGAUGAGUCACAGAUUGGGAAUGGGCAUUUUCAAGUGUAUUUAUUGAUUAAGCUAGGUACUAGGUAGUUCAAGUUUUAAUUUUCAUUAAUGGGUUCUGUAGCUAUGCUCGUUAAGACAAUAAGAGCUGGUGAUUUUAGAGUCAAAAGAGGAUUAUGAUGAUAAUGAUGAUGGUGUUGGUGGUGUUGAUAAUGAUACGUAUGACACUGAUAUGGGUAUACUAACAAUACAUUGCGAUAAACGACUAACUAAACCUAGGUUAAAAGUAAAAUUUAACCCUCUCUCUAGAUGAGUAGCGAAAUCCUAAGCAAAGAACCUCCACCGCCGCUGGUGGAUGAUCGUUCAACAAAAAAGGCAAGGUUUAGGGAGCAAGGUGUUGAUGCUGAUAAUCCACCGCCCUUAUCCUUUAAAGAUAAACUGAUGGAAGACCAAAAUGAGCUUGAAGAGGAGAUCUUGGGUAGAGAAGAAGACCUGGAAUUUGAGCCUGAAGACGUGAUUGUAGAAGACAAGAAUAGUAUCCCAUCCAUCUCUUUCUCAGGAAAGAUACAAGCUCAGCUCGUUAAGCCAUGGAUGAACACGAUUGUUGUCAAGUUGCUAGGGAGGUCUAUGGGAUAUAGGGCUCUCUGCAAUAAGCUGAAUGAUCUAUGGAGAACGUUGCAAGGCUUCACAGUUAUAGACCUGGAGAAUGACUUCUUCCUGGUUAGAUUCAAGUCUGAGAUUGAUGCACAGUAUGCUCUCACACAAGGGCCUUGGACCAUUCUUGGCCAUUAUCUCACCGUACAACAGUGGACACCUCAUUUUGAUAGUUCUAAUGUCAAUAUUGAAAACAUUGUGGCUUGGAUUCGCAUACCGGGUAUGCCUCUACACUAUUACCACAAAAGGAUCCUUCGCAUGAUUGGAAACGUCGUGGGAAAAGUGAUUAAAAUUGACUACAACACCGAGUCAGCAAGGAGGGGAAAGUUUGCUCGCAUUGCAGUGGAAAUUUCAUUAAAGAAGCCUCUCUGCUCACAAUUUUUUCUGGAUGGGAAGUUGCAAAAUAUUGAGUAUGAGAAUCUGCCUAUUAUUUGCUUUAAUUGUGGAAUUUACGGGCAUAAGAAUGAUGAUUGCCCACAGUCAAACACAUUGAAAAAUCCGAUGGAGAGUUGUGAGAAUAAUGUUGCGGAGGAUAAUCCCGGUGGUGGGGAGGAAAAGUCAUCAUCUUCUGAAGUUCCGGUUAAUCCUAGUUUUGGUCCUUGGAUGAUCGUCAGCCGGAAAGGGAGGGGAAGAGUCAGCAAGGAAGGCGGCUACACAAAAAAUUUCAACCGUUUCCGAGACGGCAAAAGUGAAGGGGGCUCUCGUUUCGAAGUUCUCGAGAAGGAGGAAACUGAAGAAAGAGAAAUUGCUCUCCCUCGAAACCAUAAUGUUUCCACAACCGAAAAUGAACAGCCAGUUACCCACUUUAAAUAUAAAACCAAAAGCAAUCCUAAAACCAACUCCACCAUGCAAAAACCAAGUGUCAACAAUGCCAAGCCCCAAUAUUUGAAUAUUGAACACUCUUUAUCCCCACCAGCUCCCAUGCAUGCAAGAGCACUACCACGUACCCUUUCAACUAACCAUGCACCCUCAACCGAUUUACCAGUUCCCACCACAGUCCCUACUAGCUUGGAUCCCGCAAAGCACACAGCCAUUAAAUUUAUUCCCCCAAGAGUUGAACCUUCAUCACUAAAUGCAAUUAUUGAUACAUCUCAAUCCAAUUUGAGGCUUGCUGUCCCCACCAUCUAUUUCGGAGACCAUGACAAACCCCCUGAUGAUAAUUUGGCUAUGGACGAUAAUGAAGAGAAUAACCCGGAUGAUGGAAACUCAAUGGAUGAUGAUAGUGAGUAUGAUUCAGCUUCUGUUGAUAGCAGGGCCUCUUUGGAGGAGAAAGAUAACAUGGAAUGUUAAUGAUGUCUCGUAUGGCCAAUCCUUUGUCUUUUUUUUCCUUAAUGAUGAAUUUAUCUAUCCUUUUUUGGAACUGUCAAGGGGUAUCUUCAUCGGGUUUUAAAAGAACUUUUAAAACCAUGAGCAAGAUUUACAAACCUGAUAUUGUUGCUAUUUUGGAGCCUAAAGUCAGUGGGGCUAAAGCUGAUUAUUUUAUUAAAGGAAGUGGCUUUGAAUUCUCACAUAGAGUGGAGGCUGAGGGCUUUGCUGGGGGUAUUUGGAUACUAUGGAAUAGAGGUUUCGCAAUGGAGUUUGUCGUUAACCACAAACAGUACAUUCAUUUUAAAGUUACAGACUUUUCUGGUAAUUGGUCAUGGGUCACUGCAGUAUAUGCCAGCCCCAAUCCCAGCCUUCGAAGGAAAUUUUGGAACGAGCUAGAGUCAAUAGCUAAAUCGAUAAAGGGACCUUGGAUGUUGGGUGGCGAUUUCAACUCAAUUCUUCAUGCUUUAGAGAAAAAAGGUGGCUCACCAAAAAGCAGUGGUAUUUGCAGAUCUUUCAAUAACUGGUUUCACGACAAUCGCCUUAUAGAUUUGCAUUUUAAAGGGCCUUGCUUCACUUGGUCUAGAGGAACCCUGUUUAAAAGACUUGAUCGUGCCAUUUGUAAUGAUCAUUGGAAUAGUUUGUUCACAGAAGCUUCGGUCUUACAUCUCCCAAAAAUUCACUCUGAUCACCGUCCAAUUCUUGUCAGCUUCGACUCAAAUUUGAAUAGGAGGAAUGGUGUAAAACCAUUUCGUUUUUUAGCAGCAUGGCUAAUGGACCAUUCUUUUAUUUCUCUCGUUGCUAAAGAAUGGAGGGAUUCUGAGGGGUAUUUUCAAGCUGCUCAUGAUUUUGUGGAUAAAGUCAGCAAGUGGAAUAGAGAUAAUUUUGGGAAUAUUUUUAAAAGAAAAAGGAGAAUUCUUGCAAGAUUGAAUGGCAUUCAGAGAGCCCUGGAGUGCUUUGAUUCAAAAAGGCUUCUUAAACUAGAAUCCAAAUUGAAGACGGAACUUGAAAAUAUUUUAUCCCAAGAGGAAUUAUUAUGGUACCAAAAGUCAAGGCGUGAAUGGAUUGCUUGCGGGGAUAGAAACACAGCCUAUUUCCAUAGUAAAACAAUUGCUAGAAGAAGAAGGAAUCGAGUGGAUGCUAUUCAAAAUAGCGAGGGCAAGUGGAUUUAUGACAAGGAAGAAAUUAAAACUCACGCCAUUGAUUUUUUCUCUAGACUUUUCAACUGUCAAGAUGAAGAGGUCCGAUUUUACUCCAUUGCAAAUGCCUUUCCAAAGAUUGAGGAAGACAGAAUAGCCGAUAUUUGCAGAGCUGUUCAGAGAGAGGAAAUAAAAGCUACUAUUUUCGGAAUGAAACCAUUAAAGGCUCCAGGAAUUGAUGGACUCCAUGCUCUCUUUUAUCAGACACAAUGGAAUGUGGUUGGUGCUUCAGUUUGCGAUCUUGUGAGUAAUAUUUUUAAAGGCAAUCCCCUUCCCCUAGAACUGAACAGGACCCUUAUUGUCCUUAUCCCAAAAACCAAUAACCCCACCAACAUGAAAUUGUUUCGUCCUAUCAGCCUUUGUCCAGUUCUGUACAAAACAGUCACAAAAAUUUUGGCAAACCGGCUAAAGGAGAUUUUACCUGACUUGAUUGGUCCAACUCAAACUAGUUUCGUCCCCGGAAGGCAUAUCACAGAAAAUAUUGUCAUGGCGCAAGAAAUCAUCCACACAAUGAAAAAUAAAAGGGGUAAAGUUGGGCAGAUGGCUAUCAAAGUAGAUCUUGAGAAGGCUUAUGACAGGCUCCGAUGGGAUUUUAUUCAUGAUACUCUUAAAGAUGUUGGGUUGCCUCAGGAGUUUAUUCGAAUUACAAUGGAAUGCAUCACCACAGCUAGAAUGCAAAUCUUAUGGGAAGGGGAGCUCACUGAUGAAUUCACUCCUUCUAGAGGCAUCCGACAGGGAGACCCUCUUUCUCCCUACAUUUUUGUUCUUUGUAUUGAACGUCUUAGUCACGGAAUUAAUCAAGCAGUGUCUGACGGAAGAUGGUGUCCUAUACGUCUUUCACAUAAUGGUGUCCCUCUAACACAUCUCUUUUUUGCAGACGAUUUGCUCCUUAUGGCUGAGGCUUCUUAUAAUCAAGCCCAAGUUAUAAAUAAUGUACUUGACAAUUUCUGCAGCUGCUCAGGGGAGAUGGUUAGUAAACAGAAGACCCGUGUGUUUUUCUACAAGAAUGUUGAAAAGGCUAUGGCAAGGAAAAUAAGUGAGUCUUUAGGUUUCUCUGCUACGGACAAUCUUGGCAAAUAUCUCGGAAUGCCGCUGCUUCAUAACAGAGUUACCAAAGCUACUUAUCAGGAGAUUGUGGACAAUGUUGAUAAAAAGCUGUCAGGGUGGAACUCAAUGCAUCUCUCUUUAGCUGGAAGAAUUACUCUUGCUCAAUCAGUUAUUCAAGCGGUUCCUAUUUUUGCCAUGCAAACGACAAGGAUUCCUCAGGGAGUGUUAGAUAAAAUUGAUCGGAUUUCUCGGAGAUUCAUUUGGGGAGGAAAUAAUGAAGACCGAAAAAUCAAUCUGCUUAAUUGGGAAAUGGUUUGUACACCGAAAUCUGGAGGUGGUCUUGGCUUGAAGAAUCUUUCUGAUAUGAAUAAUGCUCUGCUUAUGAAAAUUGGAUGGAAUAUGUUGGUUUCUCCACACAGUUUGUGGGUUAAGAUUCUGAGAUCUAAAUAUGGGCUUACCUCAGACUCUAUACCUAUAGCUAUUGACAAUAAGUGCAGUUCUUAUCUUUGGAAAAGCAUAAGCAGAAUCUGGGAUUAUGUGUUACGGGGCAUGAGAUGGACGAUUGGAGAUGGAAAUAAAAUUAACUUUUGGCAUCAGCGUUGGGUUUCAGAAGAAAUAAUUAUUGCAGAUUAUAUUACAAAGCCAAUUCCAGCUGAGUUAAUAAAUAAACGAGUGGCUGAUUUUGUAAAUGCUGAGGGGCAGUGGAACUGGAACAUGAUUAGUACUUUUAUCCCCAAUCAAAUUCUUCUCCAAAUUGCAGCGGUCAAGCCCCCGUCUGAUGGCAAAUGCGAAGAUCUCCUAUAUUGGGCUCACUCAAAAACGGGCAAGUUCACAUCUAAAUCAGCUUACCUUUUUCUGAAUAAUUCCAAUUGCAGCAAAGAUGCUCAUUUCUGGAAAUUAAUUUGGCAAUGGAAAGGGCCCCAACGAGUUAAAAUUUUUUUAUGGUUGGUGAUGCAUGGAAAAAUUAAAACUAGAGAGGAGCUUUUUAAGAGGCAUAUUCUGGAUAAAAUGAAUUGUGAAAGAUGUGGCCAUGAGAGAGAAAACGAGAUGCAUGCACUUAGGGACUGUUUUGUUGCAAAGAGAAUAUGGAAUUGUUUAAUUCCAGUCAACUUCAGACAUCAUUUUUUCUCCUUUAAUCUUCGUGAUUGGCUCUGUUUCAACUUGGGAAAGACUGGUAUCAAUGAAGUGGGGGAUGAAUGGGCAUGUUUAUUUGGAGUGGCUAUCUGGAAAAUUUGGUUUUGGCGUAAUCAAUUUCUUUUCUCACAAAAAUCCCCUUACUGCACCCAUGUUGUUGCUGAAAUUAAAUCUUGGGCUCAAGACAUUCAAAAUGCACGAUCAACUCUUAGUUUCGGUCAGAGUAAUAAGAUCAUCAAAGAUGUUAGAUGGCAAGCUCCCCCUGAAUCUUUUUUCAAAUUAAAUACUGAUGGAUCACGAUUAAAGAAUGGUCUAGCCAGCACUGGAGGCUUGGUGAGGGAUUGCUAUGGAAAGUGGCAGUUUGGCUUUGGCAUGAACAUUGGAUUUGGAUCGGUGACUACUGCAGAACUUUGGGGUCUUUUUCAAGGACUUAAUAUUGCUUGGGACCGUGGCAUUCGUUAUUUAAUUGCAGAGGUGGAUAGCCAAUGUGUUUCCCAACUUAUUUCCUCUACUAGUUUGAUGCCUAAUGCACAUUUUUCUCUCAUAACUGCCAUAAAGGAACUGAUGAAUAGACAAUGGCUCAUUACCAUAAAGCAUAUAUAUCGGGAAGCCAAUUUUGCUGCAGAUUCCAUGGCGAAACUUGCUGGUUCCUUACCCCUUGGACUUCAUGUCUUUGAAAAUCCCCCCGCGGGUCUUGGUUAUUGGUUAUGUAAUGAUAUAUAUGGGACCUCUAUUCCCCGUUCUGUUUUAGCCUAGUUUUACUAGGCUCCAAUGUAUCAAAAAAAAAAAAAACAAUACAUUGCGAUGCAAUGUUCUUUGUUUCACGAUUUUAUGAUAUUUUUCGAAAUUGAUCUUGGUAAUUUGAUUUAACUGUAUGGUUGUGUUUGUUAUUCGGAAGUUGGUUAUUGAUGCUUGCUAAAGAUCUAAUGUAAGAAAGCAGAGGAGAGUAAUGGAGUUUUAUUGUGGUAGGAAUUGAUUCCUUGGAGUAAUAAUGUGGCUUACUACCAGCUUGGCUAGACCGAGAACGGCUUAUUAGCAAAGGCAACGGACAGAAGGAGCCAAAAUUUUAGGUUUUCUAAGAAUAGGGAGAGGGUGAAGUAAAUAAAAUUACAAAUUUGUAAAAGAUCCUGAAAACCUGAUUUCAAAAGUUUAUCCAGAUAUAUGUGUUGUUGUCUACUCAUAUCAUAUAUUGCAGUGAAAGUAAGACAGGUUUACCUUAUAGAAACUAGUGUUGUGUGAACUUAACCAUGGAGUAACUAUAUAGGAAGCAACAGACGUGAGCUUUCCUUGUGGCAUCUUCUAUGUACUUAUAUAUUUCCUUAGGGAGUAAUCCUAUGCUGUCAAAAACCAUAAAAGCGUAUGCUCUUUUGGGAGGCAUUGCAUGGAUUUUGGUUUUCUUUUGGGGUCAAUGAUUCAUAGAAUUUCUUCUUGCUCUUCCCUUGUAUUCUCUCUUCUCACUACCUAUUUUACUGUUAUCUCUUCUAUUUCUCUUUCUUUAAAAGCUUUUCAGCUGAAAUUUCUACCUUCUUACGCCUCUUCAAUCGGAUUUUGAUGGAUCUUGUGGAGUUGAUUUUGUCAAAUCUGAAUUCAAUAUGUUGCAGCAAUGCAUCCUACCGCAUGGGAUUAUCUUAGACUAUGUGUCCACAAUAACGACAGCUUGUCUUUGCCUACGUAUUAAUCAUCUCUUUGAAAAGAUACUUUCACGGUGGUUCAUAAAUUGUUAUUCAUUGUCUGAAUUUUCUGUGUGAGUGCCCCAUGCCGUUAGACCAUCUCUUAAAAUGGAAGUUUUCUUGCUAGAUGCAUGAUGAGCAUAAUUUAUAUACAUAUUUUACCCUUAAUAAUAUAAUUGCUAGUUAUAUUUAUUUAUUAUUUUUAAUUAAUUGAAUUGUUUUAUUGAAUAGGGAAUUAAUUGGAGAUUGUUGAUAAAAAGGGCAUGAAAACACUUCAAAUUGAGAAGGAAUAAAGAUUAAAUUGGAAGACAAAAAUGCAACCAAGAAUUAAUGGAAGUCAAGAAGACCAAAAUUGGAAGUCAAUCUCUUCAAAGGAUGAACGGUCGGCAUGCAUUUGGAAAGCAAAGAUUUGGCAAUUUGGAAUGCAUGUGCUGGGCAUUAAAAGAAGAAAUCAUUAAUUGGCCUUUUGCUUUUGUGGUCAAACGUGUGCUUUGCUUUCAAAGUUUAAUAAGGAAAUAAUUUUAAAAGGCCUUGGUGAGUGGGCUUUAUAAGUCGGUGGAGAAGAAUUAAUGCAAUUAGAAUCCAAUAAGGAUUAAGCAAGUCAGUAACAUUAUAUAAAGGCAAGAGGGCCACGGGAGGAAGGAGGGAACUGGAGACGCAAGGAUUCAAGACAGAGAAGAAAAUCAGCAGCAAUAUUUCGGCUUCCCCAUGGCUGAAUUUAUUUAUUUUGUUGCUCCCAAUUCAAGUAUGUCUAGCUAAUUUUCUUAUACUGAGGUUAAGGAUGAAACCCUAUUCAAUGAAAUAAUUAUCUCUUUUUAUUUAAUUAAUUCCCUAUAUAUGUUCUUUGAUAAUUAUGGUUUUUAUUUCACAUGAUUAAUUGGAUGUUAUUAAAAUCUUUUCAUCAAUUCUGUCAUGCAUUAUUGAUUGUUAGGAUUAAUAUUCGAUUAAUUCUAUGCUUGGAUCUAUAAAGUUUAUACAUGAUUAUCUUUGAUUUUAUGUCUUUCAUUAAAUUGUUUACAUAGAGUGCUUAGGAAAACUUUGACUCUUUGUUAUUCAAUAUGUUUACAUGGGAGGCUUAGAUGUCAUAUUAUUAAGCAGAAAAAGAACCUACAUUAGAUUUAAUUACUUGGGCUUAAUUGUUAUAUCUAUGAGAUGACAUAGAUUGAUUUCGAGUUGUCACUCUAAAAUUGGGGAUUAAUUAAUAAUUAGAUAAUUACUAGUUGAAUAGUGGUGGAUUCUGAAACCUUGGUAAUUUCUAUCUUAUUGAAUUCUCUUUUAUUUUAAUUGCUUCCUUAGUUUAAUUGGUUUAAUUUUCUUAAAAACUCAAUUUGCUCAACUAGGUUAGGAGUAAUAUUAAUUUUAGAUUUAAAUUAGACUUUUUAUCAAUCCCUGUGGGAUCGACCUCGUUACCACUACUCUAUUUCUAGAUUCGUGCGCUUGCGAGUAUAUUAAAAUUUUCACAACAAUGCACCUAUUGUAUUCUGCUUGUUUACGUUUGAGUGUGCCCCAUCUUGGCUAUUCCAAUGAACUUAUUGCUUCCAAUCUAAUGAGCUCCAUUGAAGCUUAGUUAUACAGAGGUCAGCAUAUGUGUUUGAAUACGGCUAUAACAAAGUACCAAUCUAUAUUUUAGCUGUGUUAAUUAUAUAGGAAUAUGAAGGGAAAAACUUUAGUUUAGUAUUUCAACUAGUUCAUUGUGCAUCCUGUCACUUCUACUUCAGCUUGGAUGUAAACUGAUGUGAAUGGUUCACAUUGACUUGAUAUCAUGUGCAAUAUGAGAGACCACUGAGCUCUUCCCUCAAAGCAAUUAUUCUUUCCUAUCUGACUUAGAAUGGCCCUGUGCAUUUCAUAAUAAAAUCAGCUUCUAAAUCUGUGAUCUUAUGACAUAUUGUAUAGGCUAGGUUGCUGAAUUUUUUAUUUAACCAAUUAUGGAGCAAAGCCAAUCCUUAAAAGAUUAAGAGAAGUUACUAUCAACUCAGUUGAUCGUUGAAUAUCUGCAACUGCAACCUGCAUUCCCUCGCUCUAGAUUGGUGCAUAAUUUCUAUUGCGAAGUUUUGCAAACCUCCAACUAGUUUUGUCUAUGUGCCAAUUAUGGGAUUUGAAUUAACUUAUCUUUUAGAUUUGCUAUACCAAACUUUUAACGAAAUGUUUUUUGCUGUUUUGGCAUUAUGUUGAACAUUGAUGUCAAAAUAACAUGUUUGCCAGCUUCUUGUAGUACCUGUAGGUGAAGCAGUCAGAGAGUCUCAUAUGUAUUCCUGUGAACUUAUUACCCAAUCAAGCUACAAUGCUCCGAUACCAGAACUAAAUUCAUUAUUAUGAGCACAUUCUUAAAUUGCUGUCUCUCUUUGGGUGAUAUGAAGAUUUUGGAGAAGCAAAGGUACUAACGUCCAAAGCUGGAGGUCAUAGCUGUACUCUUGUUUAGUUCGGAGAGACUGUUUUGAAAUGAUACAUUGAAAGUUCUUCUGUGCUUUUCUUUUUAAUGAGCUGUUGUAUUUUGAUGUUUAUUAGGAGGACGUUAUUAACUUCAUGAAGGUAAGUUACCAGGGCACAUUUCUUUGUUCCAGAAUCCUUCCGAUCUAGUUGUAAUUAUUCAUGAAAGCCUCUGGAUAAAACGGAAAUCCUAAAUUAGUUAAUUGUUUCAAUACUUUGGACUUUGAAUUGAUUUAGUAUGCCUCAUGAAACCAAUAAUUGCACAUCCUCCACUCUUAGAGUCUCAGUGUGAUAUUGACCACGGUACUGCCUGAGCAUUGCAUUCUUCCCACUGGUUGGCUCAUUGGAUUCCAUUCUACUGUUUAACUACUGCUGUUAUGUCAGUUACUAGCUGGCAAAUACUGUUAUUUCUACAAUUGUUUUGAAUAAUAACAAAUUUAUUACUCCUCCAACUUGGAACUGCCAUUGUUUUUUGAAGACUGACCUUCAUUCUUCAUUGAUUUUUUCCACAGCCGAGUACGUGCUGCCUUUGAUGUUGCUCUCAAGUUUCACAGGAACAUACAAGAGAGGGACAUAGAAGUUGGUAGAAAUGUUGGUAACUGGAUUCUACGUUGGCUUGACCGAAUGAAAGCAUCUGCCCAGAUACGUGGUCCGCCUGAGAAACUGUCACAUGGCUCCAGCAUGAGCAUGACCAGCCAUGGAAUGAAGUCCUCGAAUCCAAAAACUCCUGGAGUCCAAACAUCUAAACCAACCUUUUCCACCAUUGCCAUGAUGAUGCGGCAUCCAAGACCUGCAGGAACCACAACCCAGUAUAGGCAUCUUGAGACAAAUGGAUCUGAUCUGUUGAGUUUGAACUACAAUAGAAAUGGGUUUGAUGGAGUGCUGCGAAAGGACAUUAUGCAGUGGUUGCUGCAAAAGUGAAGGUAGAAGCUUAUCAGACACCUGUUCCUUUCUGAAGUUUUAAUCGCCAAUAAUUCAGUUAUAAUAUCUCACUCAAACCGCUCGCAUUAUUGGACUCCUAAAUUUGAAAUUCAUCCAUGCUAGUUAUGGACAUGUUGCUUGAUGCACUAAUUACUGGAGGGCUGCGUGCUGCGAAAGCUGGUAAAGAUAGGUUUUAGUUGUUCUGCUUCUGUACUCAAAGAUAGUAAUUGUUCUCUCCGUUUUCAGUGACUAGGUUUUUUGUUUCCGAACCAGUAACUGCAUAGUUGCUUCUGGUAAUGUUUGUUUGUUUCUUUGUUUGUGAUGCACAUUCCCCCAGAUUGGAAACGGCUGUGGUGAUGGCGAUCAUCUUUCUCUGUACUUGGCUUUGGGAGAUUCCACAGUCGAGGUGAUUAAAGAAUAUAUAUGCAGAGCAUACAUUGCGAAUCAUAGAUCAAGUGGGGGCGAAACAUAAAUCUUUUCGAGGUAAAAUGUGUGUGUUUACAUGCAAUUAGUAUUUGAGGCAAAUCCAAAUAAUAUAACGAGAGUGUUCCUUUUACUCUAGCAGAGAAUAAAUACUGGUUCCAUACACCAAGCGAUAACUGUGGCCGGCCAAGAUUCAUUUCAUUGAGUGAGUUAGAUGAGCCAGAGACUGGAUUUCUAGUGAAUGGCGUUUGCGUGGUGGAAGGCUGGAAGUGGAAGCUGAGGUCACUGUGCUUGUAAUUUCCGAGCCAUUAUAACAAGUAAUUAAUUGUCCUCCAAAUGGGUUCUUUUAUUGUGUGAUGCUGACUGCCUGGCUAAUCUAGGAAAUUUAUUUCUCUUGUGGUUUUCCAAAAUAACUCUUACGUUGUUUAUUGUUUAUGCUGUCCAGCUAACUUUUUAGUGUGAUUUUGGUUUUCUAUUUCUCUGCAUCUCUUUAAGGAGAAAUUCAUUAUAUCCCCUACGCUGUAAUGCUUCUCUUCUAAGAUUUUGAUUUUAAAAAAAAAUAAGAAAAAAGAAAAAAAAAUGUAGUUGAAACGAAGAAAAUUAGGUGCAAGAGAACUAAUAAUUUCACUUAGAAAAUUAAAACAAAGUAGAAUAGAAUCUUGUUGAAUUAAUAUUGGAUAAAUUGAUAACUUUGAUUAAAUAAUAGUUUUUGUCAUUGUAACUUAGAGUCAAUAUGGUAAAUUAAUAAUUCGAUAAAUUUUAUUAGAUAAUAUAUUUUAAAAAAUUAUUUUUCUAUAGGACCCAAUUAAUACAUGUAUUAAUAAUUAAUUAAUUUAAAGCUAAAUAUAUAUGACAUGUCAAUGAUUUUUUUUUUUUUUGUUGUUGCGCUGACAUAAUGCUUUAUGCAUUUUAUCGAUCAUUAUUACUUUUUAUACAAGAGAAGUUAUUGUUCUAUUAUAUGUGUUGUGGUAAGAGAAAUGAGAGAGAGAGAUCGGUUUAAUCUAUUACCUCCAAAAAAUCUCUUUUGAUGAGUCACCAUGUAAUCGUGAUCCAGCCAUGCAAUCUAACCAAAGAAUUAUCAAGUGAUUGAUUCACUCAAUCAAGAUCAAAUCAAAAUCCUAUCAUACAACUUGAUAAAAUCACUAAAUUCUCUAAUUAUGCUACCACUGUAUUUCAUAAAAAAAUUCAAUUAUCAACGUGAUAUUAUAUCUAUAAAGAUGAAUAAUAUUCAUUAAUUUAUGGAUAUAGCCAAAGUGCCAAACUGCCAACCAUUUUGUUAAUAAUCCAGGGAAGCAAGAAAAUAAGGCUUUUUGCGGUUGAUUAAAGUCCCCGCAAACAAACCAUAUUUACUAGUAGUGGCGUGGAUAAUGCUAAUUAAUUACUAAAUUAAUUAUACUAGCAAUACUACCUUAGGAUAUUUUGUUAAAUUCUCUAGUAAUACUACCUUAGGAUCACUAAAUUUUCUAAUUAUACUAGCUCAGAAUCACUAAAUUCUCUAAUUAUGCUAACACUAUAUUUCAUAAAAGUUCCUGUUAUCAAUGUGAUAUUAUUUCUAUAAAGAUAAAUCAAUAUUUAUUAAUUUAUAGAUAUAGCCAAAGUACCAACCAUUUUGCUAAUAAUCCAGGGAAGCAAUUGAUCCACUACAAGCCAUAUUUACUAGUAGUGGCGUUGAUAAUGCUAAUUAAUUACUAGUACUAUUUCUACAAUGAUGCUUCUAUUCAUGUAUCAGUGCAAUAAGUGAGCUACUGAUAAUCGUGGCUCUGUUUUGGACUUCAAUACCUUUGAAGAGCCAUCUAGCGGUCUUGUAGUUGUUUCACAUUAUAUGCGAGGGAGGAAGGUUAUGUUCUUUUGUGGUAUCACUGCUCCAUUAACACUUUGCCCAUGUUUGAGUAUCAUAUUGGCAUUUUUACGUUGAUUAACUAAUUAACAUAAAUAUAUCAUCUAAGCUGCUAUGCACAACGCUGUGGUUAGAUCUAAUUAGGAUUCAAUAAUAUCGUAUUUUUCAAUAUUAACUUGGGGAUAUUCUGUCGAUCUAGACUUACUUCAGCUUUGAGCUUUGAAGUACAUUUUAAUACUUGCACAUUAUUAUACAUGCGAUUAUUAUCUAUAUAUUUGUUAUGUUUACUUUAAUUAUUAACAAUCAAGAAAUUUCUCCACACAAAAAAAUCUGUGAAAUGAACAAUCCCGACAUGAGCUUAGAAUUUUCUAAGCGCUGUAACGAAGAUUAGUACAAACCAAAGAAAAUUUCGAUUGAGUUUGUAUUUUCGAGUUUGGUCAAUUAGAAAGUAGGAUGUAGACAGUCCAAUCAUUAGGCUUUUUAUUAAAUUUAUUUAUUUAUCCCCUAAUUUAGUAAUUAAUGAAGAUUCAUUGUAUAUUUGCUUAAAUUAUGUUUAUUCAUUGUAUUUUCAAGCAUCACAUUUUUGUGUUCUAGAUUCUAUGAUUUUUUACUUUUUUUUUGUAGAGAUCGGUGAAACUUAGUACACGUCCUCUGAGUAAUUUUAUUUUUCUUUUAUUUAAAACGACUUCGUGCUGUCCAAGUUACCAAAAAUAAAAAUAAAAAUUCAACAACUUUUUGGAGAACUUUUCGCAAUGGAAAAUAUCUUUGUUUAACAAAGAUGGUAUGUAUGUUCAACUUUUUCUCACGUUCUCUAGAGGACAAUAUUCUUAAAAUUUUCAGCUUAUUUUUAUUUCUAAUCAAUCGGUGUUAAUUAAAAAUUACUUAAAUGUAUAGCUAUUGCAAGAUACACUUCACUACCACCGGCUCAUUACAUUGUCAAAAUAAAAUCAUUUUCAUUACUUGCGGAAAAAGCAGAAGAGGAAUAUGAAUCAGGAGAGUUUGAAGUUGGAGGAUACAAGUGGUACACAUAUAUAUAUAUUCUUAUCCUUAAUAACACAAGUUCAUUUACUUUGGAUUGGGAAGUCUCUGCAGUUUUUCGUCUGUUCUUACUUGAUCAGAACCAAGAAAACUACUGUGUAGUUCAAGGUUAAAUCAAAUUUAGUGUGCAGAAUUGUAUAUUGCAACAUUAGGAAAAAAAAUUGAAUGCAUGCAUAAUGAGUGGUUGCUUGUAAUAUGAUAGAUAUCAUGGGAAAGGAAAGACUGUUUAAUGGACUGAAGCAUGUAUGGGGUUUCGAUAAAUUCAUCCCGCUUAGAGCUUUCAAUGAUACUUCGAAUGGAUACCUUGUCGAAGAUACGUGUGUUUUUGAAGCUGAAGUCAAGAAACAAAUUCAAAGAAAUUUCAAUUAGUUGUAAGUGUAUUUCGAAAAUCGAGAACUUUUCAAAGUUAGACGCAGGAUAUGAGGAAUCACAAGUUUUCGACGAUGGAAAUCACAAAUGGUAUCAAAGAUUUUAAUUUUUAAAAAAAAUUUCUACAGGUAUAAUAAAUAAUGAGUUCUUGGGACAAAGUUGUCAGUGAGUCUACAAAUAAUAAAAUACCGUUUCGGUGUUUUCAGGAAGACAGAGCUACACCCAUGGGAGCUGGGCCCGAUGCUGGUGAUUAUCUUUCCUUGUUCUUGGUUUUUGGAGAUUCCACAGUUCGGAGUACUGUUAAAGUAUACGCAGAGUUUACAUUUCGAAUCUUGAAUCAAGUUCGGGCAAUGCAUGAAUCUUCUUAAGGCACAUUGCUUGUUUUAAUACGCAACUAAUUUAGUUGCCACUGGCAGCUUGACCGAGUGAUUUUCAAGCAGUUUUCUUUAACUUUUGAUUUUGAAAGUACCUUUAACCCAAAAUAAUAAUAAUAAUAAGCUUAAUUUGAGGCUAUAGAAUUCAAAUAAUAUGUAUAAUGAGAAUGAUUCUUUUUCUCUAGGAGGUAGAGAAAGGUUCCAUUGAGUAAGUUAAAUGACCCAGAGAAUGGGUACCUUGUGAACGACGUUUGCGUUGUGGAAGCUGAGAUCACUGUGCUCAGAAUCUCCGAGGCAUUGUAAUAACAAGUAUUCUUUUUGGUUUCUCACGAAAUAAAGAAAUUCAUUGAUUUUUUGCUUACUUAUGCGAUCACGUUUGUUCAUUGACAUAAUUCUUAAUCCUGGAAGGAAAUCUCUGACAAUCUUAAUCCUGGAAUAAAAUCACAUCUAUCAAAUAUUAACAAGUGAGAUGGUGACAAAAACUCUUAGUUUUUAAUUAAAGAGUAAGUAUUGAUAAGAUAAAUUGAGUACAAUAGAGCAAGAAAUUAAUAUUACAUAAAAGGAAUAUCAUUUAUGGACAUUUAAGAAUUCAAAAGUAGUUUCUAAACUAAAAAAAGGAUCAGUAGCUAAAGUACUACUUUGUUACGUUUCACAAAAAUAUGUUACUGCAAAAUAAGAUAAUUAAUUUGGUGAAUAUGAAUGGUCAUAACAGUCCACAACAGUGAACUAGAUAUUAGAUUUUUAUUUGUGCUUGGUCAGAAAAGAGACGAGUUCUUGAUUCUUCAAGGUCAAUUAUUAUACUCAACAAUGUUUAUGAUUAUUUUGUUCUUAUUUAAUUAUUUAACUAACAGUUAAUCAAGGAUUUGGGGUCACCUUCAUGAAAUAGAUGCCAUGGGAAAUGAAAGAAGCUUGAAUUAGGUUUUGAUCAAUUGGGAAUUUAACGAUGCUUCGAAUGGAUAUCUUGAAGGACAUACGUGUGUUUUUGGAGCUGAAGUCUUUGCUAAGAAAGGAACAAAGGCGAAGGAGAGUGCCUUUAAUGAUGAAAUUCACAACUGCUUCCAUUUAUAAGCAUGUUUGGAAGAUCCAGAACCUCUCAAAGUUGCACUCAAAGCGUUACGAAUCAGAAAUAUUCAUUGCUGGAGACCAAAAUCUGGAUUUGAUGCUCAAGACCAGACGUUCAUAGUUUAUGAAAUCUCGAUUCGAACUAUAAUCAAAGUUGUACAUUUUAUAACGCUGCACAACUCUAAUAUAUAGUAGCCUAAUCUAGACAUCUGUAACUGAACAGGACUAAUACUUAAGGUUCAUUUAGACUUGUGCGAUAUGUUUCUAAUGGUAAUACAAAAGAAAUUAGAAUAGUACAACUUGUUAAAAAGGUGCAUCAUGUCAAAACCACUUCUCCGAAUGUAUAAUGUAAAUGAUUUUCUAAAAUUUGUUUGUUUCUCUAUUCAUAUAUAUAAACUAAAUGCCACAUUUGGAAGUUAAUGUUUUAAUAAUUUGUUCAAUUGAAUGCCGAGACUUAAACUUUACCCUUGUUGAUUUUUUCAGGAAGAUAUACCUCUAUCCCAAGGGAAGAGAGAGAAGGACCUGGCAGUCAUAUUUCUAUGUAUAACACAGGGGUGUUUGAAAUAUUUGGUCUUCAAGUUAUACCAAGUGCAGUUCAAGUUCUUACAUUAAUCAAGUGAGCAGAAUUUCUGUGCAGAAGGGGCAUCUUUGGGAAUUAAACUGUACUGCUUGAGAUUGAAUUAAUUUUCGAGCCAUACAUCAUUGGAAAGAUAUUUCUGUUAGCUUUCCAAUAAAUUUUACUAAUAUAAAUUUGGAGCUUUCUACAAUAAGUUAUGAUCAGUUAAGUGCGGGCUGUUCAGUUUUGAGUCAAGAAGAAUAUUUCUGGAAUGCUCUUUGCUGUGUUUUAAGCAUACCAAUGUUUUAUUAAUGUCUAGCUUUAAUGUUGGUCUUUGAAGUCAAGUCAUUUAAAGGGUUUCUUUGUAGUAUAUCUAUGCUUGGAGGAUUGUUCCAAGAAAGUUAUUUAAGCUUAUGUAGUUGUAACCAAAAGAUAGAGAUUAAUUUUGGGGAUUGGGUGAACUUUGAGUUAUUAUUAAACUAUGUAUCUCUUUGGUGGAUUCCAUUGAGUGGUGAGUAUUUUAAGCCCUGUAUCCUUAGCUUAACAACUUUAGGUGGUGAAUUUUUUUUCUGUAUCCUUUUGUUGUUUGCUGUGGUGAUGAGCUUGUGAUUUCUUGGGUGUGUGACGUUGUGUUUUCUCAUCUAUUGUGUCCGGUGUCAAAUUUGGUAUCAGAGCUUUGGGUUCUGAAAAUUUAUGGCCCAACGAUGUCGACGUAAUGCAAGAGUUGCAGAGCCUCCUGUUCGUGAGAGGGACUUGGGUGAUAGAGAAAGGGAUGAUCUUAGAAGGCAAGUAGAACAACUUCAGCAACGAUUACAACACCUUGAAGGAACUUGAGAAGCUGCUCCUAAUAGUAGUUCGGAAGAAAAAGGCUCAAUCAAUGACGGGGUAGAUUAUAAUCCCUUCCAUCAAGAACAAAGCUCCAAUAGUGAAUUUUCUUCUCGUUCUCGAAUUCAUAGGCAUCGCAAUUCUUUUCAGCCUUUCGACUUCAAGGUCGAAAUUCCUAAAUUUGAAGGAAGAAUGCAACCAGAAGAGUUUGUUGAUUGGCUUAAUAUUGUUGAACACAUUUUCGAAUACAAAGAUGUGCCUGAAGAUCGCAAAGUGAAACUUAUUGCCAUUAAACUUAAAAAGUAUGCUUCUUUAUGGUGGGAAAAUCUUAAGAGACAAAGGAAAUGAGAGGGACGGAGGAAAAUUGUUACUUGGGAGAAAAUGAAAAAAGAGCUUAAGAGAAAGUGUUUGCCCGAUAACUACAUGCAAGUUAUCUACCUUAAGUUCCACAACUUCAAGCAAAAGGAAUUGUCAGUGGAAGAUUAUACAGCAGAGUUCGACAACCUAAUGAUGAAGUGUGAUUUGGUAGAGGCAGAAGAGCAUACAAUCGCACGCUAUCUGGGUGGUUUAAAACCUGAGAUUGGUAAUGUGGUCCAGCUCCAAUCAUAUUGGACUUAUAGGGUGUGUUUGGUACACGUAUUGUAUUAUUCUGUAUUGCAUUAUUUUAAUGCUGGUGUAUUGUAUUAUGUUGUAUUGCAUUAGCACUGUAUUAUAAUAAUAUUGUACAAUGUUUGGUGCUACAAUAUACUGUAUUAAUUUUUAGUUAUACUAUGUUUGGUGUUGCACUGUACUAUAUUAAUUUCUUUUGGUGAUUAAUUUUAAUUAUAUAUUUAGAAAAUAAUAUCUACUAGUACUUAGAAAAAUACUAAAUAUAGAAGUGUUAAAUUUAAGAAUUUUUACAUCAAUUUUUUUGUUUAAAUAAAAGAAUCAUAAUUCUUUAUGUAAAACUAACAAAUUCUAAGAUUUACAAUGAUAUAAGAUUUAUUUUUUCAAUAAUUCGUAAAUAUAUAACCUAUGAAAUAAAGAUUGAAACAAAUAAUCCAAUCAAAUAGCAUUUAAAAACUAUCACAGCAUAAAUAAAAUAAACUAUCACAAGAUUCAUUCAAAGUUAAUACAUACUUCAAAAACAUCACAAAUUAGUAAAGUAACACAAUAGUUGUUUGCGUUCGAUAAUUUAAGUACACACAUCUACAAGCCAAACUCCUAAUGCAAAAUAUCAUUGUUUAGUUAGAAAUCCAUACUCUCUAAUCAAAUUCCACCUCUCCUCUCAUGCUCACGCAAAAGCAUCCUAACAUAAGCCAACUUACGAUCACGAUCAUUUCAUAAUACUUUGAAAGCCCUUAUAUGUGAGGGCUUCUCAGCCAUCAAAUUUAAGGCAAUAAGCUCGUCAUCCACAGAAAGUCCCAUCGAAGCAAGCUCUCUACCAAUGUACUCAUGAUCUUCACUACUUCCAAACAUAUUAUGAGACAUGUCAGCGUUGACUUGGUGAAACGCUGAAACCAAUUUGUCAAUACCACUAGCAAUUUGUUCAUCUAAUUUAGACCUCCUCCUGUUUGAUGAUUGUGAACGUGAUCGAGUAGUGUAUUGAGAAUUUGAAGGCAGUAUAGUUGACAUUGGAGAACCUUCAUCAUCAUGAAUUUCUUCUUGAAGUGCUGCAUUAGCCAUAUCAUUUGGAGUUUCUGUUGAACUUCUAGUUGCACGGUCUUUUCCAAAUAUGUUUGCUAGCCUCUCAUAAUAUGGAAAUGGCUUAUCUCUCCAAUUUCUUGCAUCUUUAUGGGACUACAAUAAUAAAAUAAGAUAAUGAAAUAAACUCUAUUAUAUUCAUAACAAACAAAUUAAGGACAAUGUUUGCAAAUGAUGACAUAAAAAGAAAUAAUUUUCUUUACUAACCUCCACAUAUGAUCUCCAUACUUCGUCACUGUCAACCACUACACAUUUUCUCACUUCAUUCCAGCCAAAACCGCUAGUGUUCAACAUAUCAAAUAUCACUCCAUAACUUUUCUUCCAUAUCCUUAUCUUAGAAUCAAUAUGUGGAUACGCCUUCAAACCGCUCCCUGGUAAUAGUUUUUCUAUUUCAUUUUCAAUAUAUUUGUAACUUCCAGAUUUAAAGGUGUCGUUAUCAGCUCGACCACUAUUUGCAACUACAGCAUCUAAAAUGUUCAACAUUGCCUCUUCUUGGUCUUUUGUCCAUACUCGUCUUGAUCCUGUCUUAUUUCCAAUAGUAUGGCUUGGUCCUCCACUCUCCAUUCCUACAAAAUAAAUAUUAUAACAAUUUUUUGAACAAGUAACUAAAAUAUAACACCAAGUCAAUUCACAUCAAUAAACCUCGAUAAAUUUCUAAUGACAUCAAAUAUAAAUACAAGGUUACAACCUUAGACAUUUUCCUAAUGACAUCUAUAUACUAACAAAAGUACAGCUUCCAAUGCUUUCCUAAUCACAUCUAUAUACUAACAAAAGAUGGUUUCCUAACGAUCUCUGUAUACUAACAAAAGUACAGCCUCAGAUAUUUUCCUAAUUACAUGUAUAUACUAACAAAAGUAAAUGCUCGGAUACUUUCCUAAUGACAUCUAUAUACUAACAAAAUUACAUGCUCAAAUGCUUUCUUAAUGACAUCUAUAAAUUAGAUAAGUCCUAAUUUCCAAGCCAAUUAUUAUACAUAGUAGUAGCUAGAUCAUCCCUCCAACUCGUCCACUGGUCUGAAGCUUCAAUGCUACUUAUACUAUCAUUAUCUUCUGCUUCAUUAUUAGGUAAGUCAACUAAUUCUUGCUCCAUUGGAUCCACAGACAUUUCUCUCCUAAUCAGAUUAUGCAAUAAACAACAUACAGUAAUAAUGCGACAUUGGGUUUUAAUUGGAUAAAAUAAAGGACUUCGAAGAAUAGCCCAUCGCAUUUUGAGCAAUCCAAAACACUGUUCAAUUACGUUUCUUGCUGAUGAAUGUUUCAUAUUAAAGAAUUCUUCUUUAUUGCGAGGAGCACACCCAUCUCUCCAUUCCGAUAAAUGAUAUCUCGUUCCCCUAUAUGGUGCAAGGAAUCCUUCAGCAUUUGUAUAUCCAGCAUCCACAAGAUAAUAAUAACAUAUUUAUUUCACAUAAGCAUUAAUAUAAUUUUGAUUUUGAAUAUGUAAUUUGAUUAAAUUAAUUUUUUGGAUUGAGUAAUACCUGCAGGAACUUUUAAACCAGUUGGUUUAUUUAAUGCAUCGCGAAGUACUCUUGAGUCAGAGGCAGAGCCUUCCCAUCCGGGCAUCACAAAGAUGAAUUUCAUAUCUCGUGAACAUACCCCUAAAACAUUUGUAGCAAUCUCACCCUUUCUUAUUCGAUAUCUUGGUUUAUCAUUUUCUAGCACAAGGACUCUAAUAUAAGUUUCAUCCAAUGCCCUCAAGCAAUUCUACAUGCACAAAACAAACGAAAAUUUAAUUAGCAUUAAAUUAUCAAUCGCUAUAAUAAAAUAUAAGUAAUUGAAAAUGUACCUUAAACCACUUCCACCUUUCAUCAGUGCAAUUCUCUGGUACGAGAUCUGGCACCCUUAGUAAAAUAUCGUGUAGUCGUAAUACUCCGUUGAACACUGAAUUGAAGUAUCUACUAACAGUCUCACCAGAUCUAAAAAACCUACUACCAAUUGUGCGAUUCUUAACACGAUGAGACAAAGUGUGUAGGAAUAUGCAAACUUGCUCUUCAACAGCCAAUGAACCACUAGCCUUUAGUCCCCUCGAUCGAAGUAGCUCACAUAGUAGGCCAAAUGUCCUUCUAUCCAUUCUUAGUUGAUUUACACAUUGAAUGUCACUAUUGCCUAUAAUGGUAUCUAAGUAUUGUAGUCUAGUAGCAUGGAAUUGGAAUGUACGACUACGAAUCAUUUUUCUUUCAUUAUGCCUUCAGAUCAACAUCAUUAACAAAAAAUACAUCAUAGUGAACAUGAACCUCAAUUUCAUUGGCCACAAGAUGAAAGAAAAUUUUCUUCUCAUGUCUAUAUCUAACACAACCAAUAAAAUGAGGGAAAACAAUCAGCUAGUAGACCAUUUGAUAAAUUUCCAUAAAGUUAGAUUAUAUUUCCAUAUAAAGGCUAUGUUUCAACACUUGAGCUAAAUAGAAUCACAAAGAAGAGAAUAGAGGCAGAUGAUGAUCAUAAAUAAUAAUAAUAAUAACAAAAUCAUGCCUAUCACACGAUAUAACAGAGGGUACAAGAAAUAUAUUGAAAUCCAAGGAAUUAUAUAUCAUAAGUCAUUUCUUGUUGAACAAAUAAUAAAUGGUAAGAAAUUGAACUCACUGGAAGCAAGCAGCAGUCGUUGGAAGGAAAUUCCAAUUUACGUAUUUUUUUUGCAACCUAAAUAAAAAUAACCCAUUGAAAUGAAUAAAAAAGAUGUCGAUUUUAAUGAAUAAUUAAAUCUGAAAAAAAAAAUCAUACAAGGUAUGCAACAUUUGCUAACUACAAUAGCUAUAAAUAUGUGUGUGUAUUUAGCAACUAAUAAGUCCUUAUAAAAUUCAUAUGAGUACUUAAACUCAAACUCUUUUACUCAUACACUAAUUUUUUUCCUUUUAAUUUAUGAAUGGACAACAAAACUUGAGAAACUUUUUUAUCCCCACAUAACAUGAAUUUGUCCAGGAAAAGAUUAUCCAUUGCACCAAUAAUACUCUACAGGUGGUCAUAUAUUAUAUAAAAGAAGAUAAUGUUCAACAAUAAUGGUAUUUUGAAUUUUUUGUUUGGUCUUUAAUCAUUUGGUCAUAAAGUUACUGUCUUUUUUAAUUUUAUCUUUUGACCAAAAAGUGUAGCACAAUCAUAAAUAACAAAUUGCAACUUUUCCAGAAACACCAACAGCAGCAUGAUAUUAUCGCUUUCUCUAGUUACAAUAAACAUAUUUAAGGAAGUUAAAGCAAAAGCACAUGCCAGGACAAAUUUACAUGUUAAUAUUAAACAAUGAACAAAAAAUAAGAAAGCAACUGGAAUUACACAAUUCCAAGACACCAGAUAAAAAAAAUUUCCCAAUAACAUAUCACAAAGAGAGUUGUGCAUUGCCAAAAUCAGAGAGUGAAAAUAAAUAAUCAAACCCAAAUAGAAUUCACCAGACAUUAUAUCACAAAUUUAGAGAUGCAGCAACGUUAACGGAGAAAGAACUCACAGAUUUAGAGAGACAGCAACGACGAAGAGAGCAGUAACAACAACACUAGAGAGAGCAACGAUGAAACAGAUAGAGCAGUAACGAGGGAGAGACAGCGGCAGCACAGAGAGAGAUCACCAAUAGCGAGGGACAGAGCAGCAACACUGGAGAGAGCAAUUAGCCCCUUAUUUUCCAUAAAAAUCAAUUGCCAUGAAUGUUUGAUUAUAACGGAAAAACAUGAUUAAAUUGAAAGCAAAUAAAAUAAAACCCUAAUCUAGAAAUUAAACCCAAAUGAAAUAUCAAACCUUAGGUAGUGAAGGACAGGGAGAAUAGUUGUAUUGCACAGUAGAGAUGGUGUUGCAGCGGAGGUGGUGUCAUGCAGUGGGGUGAAGUGGAGGUGGUAUCACGCAAUGGGUGGGUGUCGCACGAUGAGGUUACGUUGGAGUUGGUGUCGCACGACAAAGGCUGUUGAUGUUGUAGUGGAGCGUCGUGGAGUUGGCUCUUGUUAAGCCACUGCACAGGAGAAAUCACAGAUCGAACAAGGAGAGCUAUUUUGGUUUAUUUGAGGACAAGGUGAGAACGAGAAGGAAGUCUAAUUUUUUUGGUCUCAGAAAUAGUUGCAAAACCCGCAUAAACCCGACCCCCCUUGGGGUUUAGUUUAUGCAGGUUUGACUGCAUAAAAUUUUGAGUUGACCACAUUGUAAUACUAUGUGAUGUAAUUGCCAAACAUGGUAUUAUAAUACUCUAAUACAAUGAGUAGCUCUAAUACCAUAACCAAACAUGCCCAUAGUGAUGUAUGCAGACUUGCUCUUAAGGUGGAAAAGUAACAAAAAGAUGCUCGUGGUGGGGGUAUUUGGUUCAUAGUUCGUGAUGUCAAUCGAGGGAGUGGCUCCGUUUCUAAGCAUAAUUCUUGUUUGAAUUCUACUGCAAAGAAAAUUACGAGGAAUGAUAUCGGGGAAUGAUCUAAACAGCGAGCAAGUGGUUCGAAUGCUAGUUCUCGUCAAUGUUUUAAAUGCCAUGGUUAUGGGCACAUUGCUUCUGAGUGUCCUAAUCGUAGGGUGGCUGAUCUUGUUGAAGAGGAAAGCGAUGACGAGGAUGCAGAAGAUCAUGAGAAUCCUAGUGUCGAAAAGGAUGAUGAAGAUAGAUAAGUUACAUAUGCUGAUAAUGGAAUCUCUCUAGUUAUUUAAAAGAGUUUGAGUAUUGUUUGUGAAGAUGGGGAAGAUUGACUGAGAAAGAAUAUCUUUCACACUAAAUGCACUUGUCAUGGAAAGGUAUGUAAUGUCAUUAUUGAUAGUGGCAGUUUUGAGAAUGUGGUAGCAACUGAAAUGGUAAAGAAGUUGAAGCUCAAAACGGAGCAGCAUCCUCAACCUUAUAAACUUUCUUGGCUUAAAAAGGGAAAUGAGAUUGAGGUAAACACACGUUGCCUUAUUUCAUUUUCUAUUGGGAAUAAAUAUAAAGAUGAAAUUUGGUGCGAUGUUAUCCCUAUGGAUGCAUGUCACUUGCUUUUGGGUUAUCCUUAGCAGUACGAUAGAAAGGUUAUUCAUGAUGGUUAUAGGAAUACUUAUACUUUCACUAAAGAUGGAAGUAAAGUCAUUUUAGGUCCUUCAAAGAUAGAGAAAAGUUCUAAACCUAUCAAACGAGUGGAAAACAAUUUGCUGACUAUUUCAGAUUGUAAAAAAGAAUUGGAAAUGGGUAGUGAAGUUUACGUGCUGGUGGUGUUUGAGGAAAAUGAAGAUAACAAUUAGUCACCUUUGAUUAUGAAGUAUUUUCUUGAAGAAUUCUCAGAUGUUGUUCCAAAAGAAUUACCACAUGGCCUUCCUCCCAUGAGGGACAUUCAACAUUGCAUUGAUCUUAUUCCGGGUUCUGUACUCCCAAAUAAAGCGGCUUAUCGAAUGAAUCCAAAGGAGCACGAAGAAUUAUAGAGGCAAGUUGAAGAGCUUAUAAGGAAAUGGUUGGUGAGAGAAAGCAAAAGUCCUUGUGAUGUUCCUGCCUUAUCGGUACCAAAGAAAUAUGGGCCUUGGCGUAUGUGUGUUGAUAGCAGAGCAGUGAAUAAGAUAACGAUUGAUUAUCGUUUCCCUAUUCCACGCCUUGACGAUCUUCUAGACUAGCUCUAUGGUGCUACAAUCUUUUCUAAGAUCGAUCUUCGAAGUGGCUAUCAUCAAAUCAGAAUGAGACCUAGUGACAAAUGAAAAACGACCUUCAAAACGAGGGAUGGACUUUAUGAAUGGAUGGUUAUGUCAUUUGGUCUACUAAUGCCCCAAGCACUUUCAUGCGGCUGAUGAAUCACGUUUUUAACCGUCUAAUUAGUAGAUCUGUUGUUGUGUAUUUUGAUGACAUCCUUGUGUACAGCCAAGAUGAAAAACAACACUUGGAGCAUCUUUGCCAAGUCUUCGAGAUUUUGAAAAAUCAAAAGCUUUAUGUCAAUUUGAAAAAGUGCAGGUUCUUCACUGAUAGCCUUGUCUUUUUGGGUUAUGUUGUAUCGAAAAAUGGAAUUAAAAUGGAUCUAAGUAAGGUGGAGGCCAUUUUGAGCUGGCCAAUUCCUAAGUCGCUACAUGACAUCCGAAGUUUUCAUGAUCUUGCUUCUUUUUAUCGACGAUUUAUCAGAGGGUUCAGUACAAUUAUUGCUCCAGUAACUGAAUGCUUGAAAGGAGAAGGUUUCAAAUGGACCAAAAAGGCACAAGAGAGUUUUGAAAUCAUCAAGAGAAAGGUGUCUAAAACGCAUGUUCUUUCACUUCCAGAUUUCAGCAAGGUGUUUAAAGUUGAGUAUGAUGCCUCUAAUACUGGAAUUGGUGCUGUACUCAGCCAAGAAAGGAAACUAGUUGCUUUCUUUAGUGAAAAAUUGAAUGACUCCCGCAGAAAGUACUCAACUUAUAGCAAAGAAUUGUAUGCUAUUUGCCGAGCUUUGAACCAUUGGAGUCAAUAUUUGCUUUCAAGGCCAUUUAUUCUCUUCUCCGACCAUGAGGCACUAAAGUUUAUCAAUAGUCAGCAGAAGCUUAAUAGAAAACAUGCCGGAUGGGUGGAGUUUCUUCAAGCUUACAAUUUUACCAUCAAGCAUAAAUUGGGUGCUCAAAAUGUUGUGGCUGAUGCUUUAAGUCGAAAACAUUCCUUGCUUUCUUCUAUGCAAGUGAAGGUUGUAGGCUUUGAAAUUUUAAAAGAGCUAUACAAGGAUGAUUCGUUCUUUUGCAGGAUUUGGAGAGAAUGUGAGAAUGGAUCAUAUGAUCAGUACCAAUUGCAUGGUGGCUUUCUUUUCAAGGGGAAUCAUUUAUUUAUUCCUCAGUGUUCUUUACGAGAAUCUAUUAUCAUGGAGGCACAUGAUAGUGCUGUUAGAGAUCUCUUUAGAAGGGAUAAGACGUUAGCUUGCUUGCAAGGUAAUUUCUAUUGGCCAAAGAUGGAUAAAGAUGUAGUGCAUCAUGUGCAGAGGUGUAAAAUCUGUCAUAUUGCCAAAGCUCACAGUCAAAACACAGGCCUAUAUAAUCCUUUACCAAUCCUUAAAGCUCCUUGGGAAGAUGUUAGUCUAGACUUUGUUGUUGGGUUGCCAAGAACUCAAAGAAACAAAGACUCUGUCAUGGUGGUGGUUGAUCGAUUCUCAAAAAUUGCUCAUUUUGUUCCAUGUAACAAGACUUUGGAUGCCUUUCAUGUGGCUGAUUUGUACUUCAAGGAGAUUGUGAAGCUACAUGGAAUUUCGAAAACCAUUGUCUCUGAUCGGGAUUUAAAUUUUUUGAGUCACUUUUGGUGCACUCUUUGGAAGAAGUUGGGAACCACUCUUAAAUUUAGCUCUUCUCAUCAUCCUCAAACUGACGGUCAGACUAAAGUGACGAAUCGAAGCUUGCAAAUCUCUUGAGAAGUUAUGUGGGCAAGAACAUUCGUCAAUGGGAUCUUAUUUUGCCUCAGAUUGAAUUUGCUUACAAUCACUCCAUACAUCUGUUGUUGUGUAUUUUGAUGACAUCCUUGUGUACAGCCAAGAUGAAAAACAACACUUGGAGCAUCUUUGCCAAGUCUUCGAGAUUUUGAAAAAUCAAAAGCUUUAUGUCAAUUUGAAAAAGUGCAGGUUCUUCACUGAUAGCCUUGUCUUUUUGGGUUAUGUUGUAUCGAAAAAUGGAAUUAAAAUGGAUCUAAGUAAGGUGGAGGCCAUUUUGAGCUGGCCAAUUCCUAAGUCGCUACAUGACAUCCGAAGUUUUCAUGAUCUUGCUUCUUUUUAUCGACGAUUUAUCAGAGGGUUCAGUACAAUUAUUGCUCCAGUAACUGAAUGCUUGAAAGGAGAAGGUUUCAAAUGGACCAAAAAGGCACAAGAGAGUUUUGAAAUCAUCAAGAGAAAGGUGUCUAAAACGCAUGUUCUUUCACUUCCAGAUUUCAGCAAGGUGUUUAAAGUUGAGUAUGAUGCCUCUAAUACUGGAAUUGGUGCUGUACUCAGCCAAGAAAGGAAACUAGUUGCUUUCUUUAGUGAAAAAUUGAAUGACUCCCGCAGAAAGUACUCAACUUAUAGCAAAGAAUUGUAUGCUAUUUGCCGAGCUUUGAACCAUUGGAGUCAAUAUUUGCUUUCAAGGCCAUUUAUUCUCUUCUCCGACCAUGAGGCACUAAAGUUUAUCAAUAGUCAGCAGAAGCUUAAUAGAAAACAUGCCGGAUGGGUGGAGUUUCUUCAAGCUUACAAUUUUACCAUCAAGCAUAAAUUGGGUGCUCAAAAUGUUGUGGCUGAUGCUUUAAGUCGAAAACAUUCCUUGCUUUCUUCUAUGCAAGUGAAGGUUGUAGGCUUUGAAAUUUUAAAAGAGCUAUACAAGGAUGAUUCGUUCUUUUGCAGGAUUUGGAGAGAAUGUGAGAAUGGAUCAUAUGAUCAGUACCAAUUGCAUGGUGGCUUUCUUUUCAAGGGGAAUCAUUUAUUUAUUCCUCAGUGUUCUUUACGAGAAUCUAUUAUCAUGGAGGCACAUGACAGUGCUGUUAGAGAUCUCUUUAGAAGGGAUAAGACGUUAGCUUGCUUGCAAGGUAAUUUCUAUUGGCCAAAGAUGGAUAAAGAUGUAGUGCAUCAUGUGCAGAGGUGUAAAAUCUGUCAUAUUGCCAAAGCUCACAGUCAAAACACAGGCCUAUAUAAUCCUUUACCAAUCCUUAAAGCUCCUUGGGAAGAUGUUAGUCUAGACUUUGUUGUUGGGUUGCCAAGAACUCAAAGAAACAAAGACUCUGUCAUGGUGGUGGUUGAUCGAUUCUCAAAAAUUGCUCAUUUUGUUCCAUGUAACAAGACUUUGGAUGCCUUUCAUGUGGCUGAUUUGUACUUCAAGGAGAUUGUGAAGCUACAUGGAAUUUCGAAAACCAUUGUCUCUGAUCGGGAUUUAAAUUUUUUGAGUCACUUUUGGUGCACUCUUUGGAAGAAGUUGGGAACCACUCUUAAAUUUAGCUCUUCUCAUCAUCCUCAAACUGACGGUCAGACUAAAGUGACGAAUCGAAGCUUGCAAAUCUCUUGAGAAGUUAUGUGGGCAAGAACAUUCGUCAAUGGGAUCUUAUUUUGCCUCAGAUUGAAUUUGCUUACAAUCACUCCAUACAUCAAACUACUGGUUCUAGUCCCUUUGAAGUAGUUUACGGCAAGAAUCCAAUCAGUCCUUUGGAUUUGGCUCCACUUUUGACUAAUCAUCAAUUUAGUGGAGAGGCUAAAGAAUGCUCUAAAAGUAUCAAGAAGAUGCAUGAACAAGUUCGAGAUAGAAUAUUGAAGCAAAAUGAGAAGUAUAAAAAAUCUACAGACAAGCAUCGAAAACAUGCUAAGUUUCAGAAAGGAGAUUUGGUUUGGGUUCAUCUUAGUAAAGAUCGUUUUCCACCUGGGAAGUAUGCUAAUCUUAGACCAAGGGCUGCUGGACCAUUUAAAGCAUUGGUGAUAAUGCUUACAAGAUUGAGCUACCAGAUGGCUAUGGUGUUUCGUCAACAUUCAACAUAUCAGACUUGUCUCCUUAUCAUGAAGAAAAUGGUCAAAACUCGAGGUUGAAUUUUUUUCAAGUAGGAGAGAUUAACACAGGGGUGUUUGAAAUAUUUGGUAUUCAAGUUAUACCAAGUGCAGUUCAAGUUCUUAUAUUAAUCAAGUGAGCAGAAUUUCUAUGCAGAAGGGGCACUUUUGGGAAUUAAACUGUACUGCAUGAGAUUGAAUUAAUUUUCGAGCUUUACAUCAUUGGAAAGAUAUUUCUGUUAGCUUUCCAAUGAAUUUUACUAAUCUAAAUUUGGAGCUUUUUACAGUAAGUUAUGAUCAGUUAAGUGCGGACUGUUCAGUUUUGAGUCAAGAAGAAUAUUUCUAGACUUGGACUUUUUUAAUGCUCUUUGUUGUGUUUUAAGCAGCCCAAUGUUUUAUUAAUGUCUAGCUUUAAUGUUGGUCUUUGAAGUCAAGUCAUUUGAAGGGUUUCUUUGUAGUAUAUCUAUGCUUGGAGGAUUGUUCCAAGAAAGUUAUUUAAUCUUAUGUAGUUUUUUUUUUUUUUUUGAAUACUGAUUAAUCAUCAUAUUACUGCAUUACACAGAUAUUUACAACUGCUAUUAUAGCAGAUAUAUUACACUGAUAUUUACAAUCAGAAAUACAUGAUUGGGACUUAUAUUAUUACAUUGAAUUCUGUGAAGUACAUGCCCAGACAAAUAAUCCCUUACAAAAGAGGGAUGUCCAUACUCCACUCGUAUUGCACGAGGGAGAUGAAAUUUUUGAAAUAUUAAACAAAUAAGCACGUAAUCUUAUGUAGUUGUAACCAAAAGAUAGAGAUUAAUUUUGGGGAUUGGAUGAACUUUGAGUUAUUAUUAAACUUUGUAUCUCUUUGGUGGAUUCCAUUGAGCGGUGAGUAUUUUAAGCCCUGUAUCCUUAGCUUAACAACUUUAGAUGUGAAUUUUUUUCUGUAUCCUUUUGUUGUUUGCUGUGGUGGUGAGCUUGUGAUUUCUUGGGUGUGUGACGUUGUGUUUUCUCAUCUAUUGUGUCCGGUGUCAAUGUACCUGACAUUGGCUGACUUGUCAACUAGAACUUGUGGUUUUAAAAAUACCUUCAUUCACACAGCAAAUCCAGGAUCAAGUGCAGUCAAAGCAUAAUUAUAAAACUUUGCUAGUACAUGGUUCAGGAACUCAAUCGAAGAUUGGGGUUGGCACAAAUUUGUUGAACUUAGUUACUUGAACAAGGCAAGCAAUGGUUUUCUUGUGAACGAUAUGUGCAUUGCGAAAGCAGAGGUGUAUGUGCUUAGAAUUUCCAAAGCCCUGUAACAUAUACUCUAAUAAGCAUUGCUACUCUUGCAUGAAAAUUGGGAUGCCAAUUUUUUAAUUUUAUUUCUUAUAAUAAGAGUUAAUCUCAUCGUACCCAUAUAUUUUGACAAAGAAAUUCAGUUGCUGCCGCUCGAUAAUUAGUGAUUAAUUGGUUAUUAAGUCUCCACAUGGAGACUACAUAGGGAUGCCUUCUUAUAGGUUUAGCCUGCGAUAUCUUAUUCACUGUUGCUUUUUUUUCCUCCAUGUAUUCUGCGAGUCGCAAUAGGUAAGGUACUAUAUAUACUUUUUUUUUUAUCUUACAAGUGUGAAAUAAAAUGAACUUAACUUUCAGAUUAGAUCAAUAAGUAUUCACCAAAUACUUAAGUGCUGCUCAACCAUAGUACUAAAUCGGGCCUAAAUUUUGGAAGCUAAUUUUAUAAUAUUUGAUAAUAGAAAAUAGAACAACUAAAAUAUUGCUUUAGCUCGUUGAAAUACACGUUUUUUGAGUGGAGGGUACGUAUUUUUGUUCAUUUGUUUUGUAGUUGUUUUCUUGCCCCUUACCAUCCAUUCUUGCAACCAAGCAAAGAAAUCAAUAUUCCUUGACCAAACCAAACAAAUUAAAGAAUCAAGAUCCCUUUCCCUAAUUGCAUUCCCCUUCCCAUUCCAUUCUUGCAGCCAUCAGUUUCUAAAACGUGGCGAAUAUCAAUAGUUAUUCUGAUUCUUUCUGAAAAUUUAAUGUUGAAUUGUAUAAACCCUCAAACUUGGUGCUUUAUAUAUACCAUGGUCCCCUUAGAUAUUUUAAAGAACAAACAUUAAUCUUGAGAGAAUACCCUAACCCUUGAAAAAUCUUAUUAUAAUCAAUCUUUCUUCAGUACUAGUUUUAGUACCUAAAGAAUUGCAGUAGUUUGGAGGAAUUCGUUGCAAUGGAAAAUGACUUCUUAGAUCAAGUUGGUACGUUCUCUGGCUCCUUCCCCAGCUCCCCUUUUUCUAUGUAUGUUUAUAUAUGUGGAUCGAACAUUUCUUGCCUGUUAUUUUCUGAUCAGUGUUAAAAUUACUCUUGACAGCAAUGUCAAGAUCCAUUUCACACGUACCACCGGCUCAUUUCUUACUCAAAAUACAGGCGUUUUCAUCUCUUGUGGAGAAUGAUUUGGAAAAAUACGAAUCUUCGGAAUUUGAUGCUGGAGGCCACAAGUGGUAUGGCCUAAAACUUACUUGUACACUAUAUUCUGAUUACAUAUCAUAAUCUAAUGUGUUAUUUUGAAUUCAUGGUGGUUUCAGGAUACUUGUUGUUUACCCAAAUGGAAAUAAAAACAAAAAUGUGAAAGAUCACAUAUCACUCUACUUGGCUAUGGUAGAUACAAGUUCACUUGGCCUUGGUUGGGAAGUCUAUGUGCUUUUCCGCCUAUUUGUGCUUGAUCAGAAAAAAGACGAGUUCUUGAUUCUUCAAGGUGGAUUAUUACAGUCAACAAUGUUCAUGAUUGUUUUGUUCUUAAUUAUUUAAGUGAGACCUAAUCAAUGAUUUGGGCGGGGUCCCAUUCAUGUGGUAGAUGCCAUGGGGAAAGAAAGGCGCUUCCAUGGAUUGAAGCUUGAAUGGGGUUUUGAUAAAUCCAUCCCGCUUGAAGAAUUUAACGAUGCUUCGAAUGGAUAUCUUGUGGGAGAUACUUGUGUUUUUGGAGCAGAAGUAUUGGUUAAAGAAAGGAACAAAUGCAAAGGAGAGUGCCUUUCCAUGACGAAAUUGAUAUCUGCUUCAAUUCAUAAGCAUGUUUGGAAGAUUGAGAACUUUUCAAAGUUGGAGGCAAAGCGUUACGAGUCCCAAGUAUUCGUUGCUGGAGAUCAAAAGUGGUAUGAUAUCUAUAUAUAUAUAUAUAUAUAUAUUCUGAAAUGGUGCUCCGCGUCUAAACUUUAUGAGGUUUAGAUUUAGCCUGCGAUCAGACAGACAUCCUAGCCUGAGGAUGACUAAUUCUUUCUGUAUCAUAUAUUUCUUUCUAUAUCAUUUAAUUUCUUUACUCGUAUCACCUAAUUAAAUGCCUCAUCUGAUAAUUAACCCUUGUUGAUUUUUUCAGGAAGAUAGAGCUCCAUCCCAAGGGAAUCAAAAGUGGAACCGGCAGUCAUGUUUCUAUGUUCUUGGCAUUGGCUGAUUCCUCAACUAUAGCUCGUGGUUUUAAAAUAUACGUGCAUUUCACACUGCGAAUCCGGGAUCAAGUGCGGGGAAAGCAUGAAGAUGCAAAAAGUAAUUAAAUUAGUAAUUAUUAUCCCGAACUUAUUUAACAGAUGCAUGAAUUAAUAAGCUUAUAGCACUGUAACUACUAUGAGCUUAUUUAUAGCUAAAUACAUAUAACUUUGAGGCUUUCUAUUGUUGUUGUUUCAUGCAGCAAGUAUAUGGUUCGGGUCCUCAAUUAAAGAUUGGGGUUGGCCAAGAUUUGCUGAACUCAGUUACUUAAAGGAGGCAGGCAAUGGUUUUCUUGUGAAUGAUGUGUGUGUUGUGGAAGCAGAGGUUUCAGUGCUUGGAAUUUCCAAAGCACUGUAGUAAUAUAUAUAACUAAUGAGCAUUGUUACUUGCAAGAAAAUUGGGAUGCCAAUUUUUACUUUUAAUUUAUUAUAAUAAGAAUUAAUCUCAUUGUACCUAUAGAUAGUUUUCGUGAGGGAAAUUCAGCUGCGGACACUCUCACUAUGUUUUGGUUUUCAAGUCUCUACAUGGCGAUUAGAUGGGUUCAGCCUGUGAUCUCUAGUUAAAUGGUGAUAUAGUUGCCGUAUUUUGCUUUAUUUCUCUUCAGUAAAUCUUUUUUUAAAAAAAUAGAAAAAAAAAAUUUAGUUGUUGUUACAAGAUAUUUUUAUCCACCUCUUCAUCAAAAUAAUGUACUUUCACACUAAUAACUUUAGAAAGUGAAUUAUAAAAGCAGCUACAUGAUUUGUGACGUAUGUAUGUACCGCAUCUUGUGAAACAUAUUAAUUAUGAAUUGUACAUCACAAAAUACUUUUAGGAAUAAAAAAUGUGUUGCUAAAUGCACAACUAAUCGAUAUGCUUUAUUGGUUAUAAAUGCCCAUCAAUCAAAUAAAUCAAGAGAUUGAGAAAUGAAAUAGCGAAAACGUGAAAUUUUUCUCUGAUCAACUUACUUGUUAUUAUUUCUAAUCAUUUUAACUUCAUAUUAUUUAUAUUAUUUGUAUGCUUAAUACACUUCCCAAAUUUGAUCUACAAUAAAUUGUGAGCUUAUGAAAUUGCAACGCAUUCCAUUGUGUACUUUAUAAGAGUAUUACUAAACACAUUCAAGCUAUUCUCCCAUUGUACUCCUUAAUCCAGGUAGGUGUAAGAAGAGAUGAAAGAAGUGUAUUUAAAAGAUCUCUUUCACAAAACAGUGCCCAAUUUAAGGGUGGGCAAAAUCGCUUUCGUAUUCGAAUCAACUCGAUCAGAUUUCAGGUUGAUUGAGUUGAGCAAAAACUCAUCCGAAUUCAAUUCGAAUAUAUAAUCCGAUCCGAUCCUAUUAAAAUAUUAUUUAGAUCGGAUCAGUUUAUAAGUUCGGGUGUCAACUAAUAUAAGCAGCUGUAGUGCUAUAAGAAUCAUGAUCGCACGGAUGCCCACUACCUUUGAUCAAGAUUCAAGAACAAGAAAUGGAGUUAUCACCACCGCCAGAACCAAAAGGGUCAAAAAUUCAUAAUGUGCAAGUGGGGCAAAAAUAUUUCACGAGAUUCAUCAUUGCAAGAAUAUUCAGCAGAAUGAUCAAGAAUUUUUAUAUAUAUUUUCGUCAGUACUUAACUACAUGGGUAUAUAUAUAUAUAGACAUACAAUGAAAAUUGAAAAUUUUGGGCUGGAGCUUGGAGGACCUUGGUGAUGGUGGCUAUCGGUCGAGGUGGAGGGAGCAACCUGCAGCAACUGUCAAGGUGGAGCAAUCGGCACUACAACAGCAGCAGUCGAGCUGUAGCAGAUCGCAUCGGCGCGUCGUGGGCUCGCGAUGGACUGAAGCCGCGACAGAUCGAGUCGCUGCUGUGCUGGCUAUGCUGCCGUGCCAUCUCCGAUCUGUCGUGUGCAGUGUGCUGCUGCUAUUGUAGUGUUGUGUGUGUGAAGAUGAAGAGAUGCCGGCUACCGUUGGUGUAAUGUUGUGUGUUUGAAGAUGAAGACGAUGCAUAUGCAAUUAGUCAAAUUAGGUUUUGCCCUUUUUUAUUUACUUAUUUAACUUUUUUUUUUUUUAUUAACCAAUCCGAUCGGAUUUUUGGAUCGGAUCGGAUUUAACCCAAUCUGAUCACGAUCUGAUCGGAUUGAGUGAAUUCCAUCCGAUCGGAUUGAACAUCAAAUCCGAUCUGAUCCAAACUCCAUUUUUUUUUAAUUGGAUUGAGGCAGAUCAAGUUGGAUCCGAUCAGUUGCCCACCCCUAGUAUCUACUGUGGCCAUUAUUGAUGAACAAAAAAUGCAACCGUUGAGAUGAGGCCAAGAGAAAACUGAAAGAGAUGUACGGUUUUUUUCUAUAAUUAUUAUUAUUUUAAUUUUAAAUAUGCCGUAAAAAAAAUACUAUAAAAUACAUUCAUUCAAUAUAACAACACAACUUAAAUACCUAAAUACCUAUUUUUUUCCCUUUGUCUCUCUCUCAGUUUUUUUGUUAGUUUUUCUUUUUUUUUAAAAAAAUUACACACUUUUCUUAAUUUAAUUUUGUUCGUCAUAAUAUAUAGAUGAAUUACUUAAUUAUAGUUAGAUAAUCAUGGAAUAAUUAACAAAUUAUUUAAUCAUAAUCUGUAUAUAUUCGAUAAUAUUCGAGCAAUUAAAAGAAUUAAUUAAAUAAAAUCAAAUGUUGAUCGAGAGUGAAUAUGAGUCUCAUAAUUAUGUAACCAUUGAGGUCGAGACUAAUUGUCACCUUGAAAAAAGGUCGCGCAACCAUCUAUAAUUAUGGGUGUAGGCAGAGGCGGGCCUAUAGCCGUUCAAAUAUAAGGGCAUUUUAGACUUUUCUGGACAUAUUUGUCACGUUUAUGAAAUUUUAAUUAUGUUGAUGGCAUAUGCUGUGCGAAACUAAAUUCCUCAAAAUUUCGGUUUUAUAUACAUAUAGAAGCCCGCAGACUAAAUGGUUGAACACUCAAGGCCGAAGCGUGAUGGGUAACCAGGGUCGAAAUUUCUGGUGGCUUGAAUCAAAGAAUCCAUAGAUUUUACUUGGGAGAAAAGAAACAUCAAAAUAUUAAAAAAUAUACAAAAUAAAUAAACAUAAAAUAAAAAAAAAAGUGCAUAAAUACACUCACAGAGAGAGACUCAGAGGGAGAGAAUGGUGCUGUGGGAGAUCACAUUGGGAACAGCGUAUUUCUUGGGACUGAAGCGGACUUACAGGCUUGCUUUGAGGAUUCAGCGUCGCGUUAUCAGCCCCAAGCACCCUCGGAUUCGUCAAUUUGUUCACCGGUAUAUUUGUGUUGUUUUAUUAUUAUUAUUAUUAUUUAAUUAUUUUGUUUUGAGUCUGAUUCUGAUUAAUUUGUAGCUUGAUGGGUCAGGCAUCAAUAGGGUUAUUAGCGGAUGAGUCACAGAUUGGGAAUGGGCAUUUUGAAGUGUAUUUAUUGAUUAAGCUAGGUAGUUCAAGUUUUAAUUUUCAUUAAUGGGUUCUGUAGCUAUGCUCGUUAAGACAAUAAGAGCUGGUGAUUUUAGAGUCAAAAGAGGAUUAUGAUGAUAAUGAUGAUGGUGGUGGUGGUGGUGGUGUUGGUGGUGUUGAUGAUGAUACAUAUGAUACUGAUAUGGGUAUACUAACAACACGUUGCAAUGCAAUGUUCUUUGUUUCACGAUUUUAUGAUAUCUUUCGAAAUUGAUCUUGGUAAUUUGAUUUAACUGUAUGGUAGUGUGUGUGGUUUGGAAGUUGGUUAUUGAUGCUUGCUAAAGAUCUAAUGUAAGAAAGCAGAGGAGAGUAAUGGAGUUUUAUUGUGGUAGGAAUUGAUUCCUUGGAGUAAUAAUGUGGCUUACUACCAGCUUGGCUAGACAGAGAACGGCUUAUUAGCAAAGGCAACGGACAGAAGGAGCCAAAAUUUUAGGUUUUCUAAGAAUAGGGAGAGGGUGAAGUAAAUAAAAUUACAAAUUUGUAAAAGAUCCUGAAAACCUGAUUUCAAAAGUUUAUCCAGAUAUAUGUGUUGUUGUCUACUCAUAUCAUAUAUUGCAGUGAAAGUAAGCCAGGUUUACCUUAUAGAAACUAGUGUUGUGUGAACUUAACCAUGGAGUAACUAUAUAGGAAGCAACAGACAUGAGCUUUCCUUGUGGCAUCUUCUAUGUACUUAUAUAUUUCCUUAGGGAGUAAUCCUAUGCUGUCAAAAACCAUAAAAGCGUAUGCUCUUUUGGGAGGCAUUGCAUGGAUUUUGGUUUUCUUUUGGGGUCAAUGAUUCAUAGAAUUUCUUCUUGGUCUUCCCUUGUAUUCUCUCUUCUCACUACCUAUUUUACUGUUAUCUCUUCUAUUUCUCUUUCUUUAAAAGCUUUUCAGCUGAAAUUUCUACCUUCGUAUGCCUCUUCAAUCGGAUUUUGAUGGAUCUUGUGGAGUUGAUUUUGUCAAAUCUGAAUUCAAUAUGUUGCAGCAAUGCAUCCUACCGCAUGGGAUUAUCUUAGACUAUGUGUCCACAAUAACGACGGCUUGUCUUUGCCUACGUAUUAAUCAUCUCUUUGAAAAGUUACUUUCACGGUGGUUUAUAAAUUGUUAUUCAUUGUCUGAAUUUUCUGUGUGAGUGCCCCAUGCCGUUAGACCAUCUCUUAAAAUGGAAGUUUUCUUGCUAGAUGCAUCUAUUGUAUUCUGCUUGUUUACGUUUGAGUGUGCCCCAUCUUGGCUAUUCCAAUGAACUUAUUGCUUCCAAUCUAAUGAGCUCCAUUGAAGCUUAGUUAUACAGAGGUCAGCAUAAGUGUUUGAAUACGGCUAUAACAAAGUACCAAUCUAUAUUUUAGCUGUGUUAAUUAUAUAGGAAUAUGAAGGGAAAAACUUUAGUUUAGUACUUCAACUAGUUCAUUGUGCAUCCUGUCACUUCUACUUCAGCUUGGAUGUAAACUGAUGUGAAUGGUUCACAUUGACUUGAUAUCAUGUGCAAUAUGAGAGACCACUGAGCUCUUCCCUCAAAGCAAUUAUUCUUUCCUAUCUGACUUAGAAUGGCCCUGUGCAUUUCAUAAUAAAAUCAGCUUCUAAAUCUGUGAUCUUAUGACAUAUUGUAUAGGCUACGUUGCUGAAUUUUUUAUUUAACCAAUUAUGGAGCAAAGCCAAUCCUUAAAAGAUUAAGAGAAGUUACCAUCAACUCAGUUGAUCGUUGAAUAUCUGCAACUGCAACCUGCAUUCUCUCGCUCUAGAUUGGUGCAUAAUUUCUAUUGCGAAGUUUUGCAAACCUCCAACUAGUUUUGUCUAUGUGCCAAUUAUGGGAUUUGAAUUAACUUAUCUUUUAGAUUUGCUAUACCAAACUUUUAACGAAAUGUUUUUUGCUGUUUUGGCAUUAUGUUGAACAUUGAUGUCAAAAUAACAUGUUUGCCAGCUUCUUGUAGUACCUGUAGGUGAAGCAGUCAGAGAGUCUCAUAUGUAUUCCUGUGAACUUAUUGCCCAAUCAAGCUACAAUGCUCCGAUACCAGAACUAAAUUCAUUAUUAUGAGCACAUUCUUAAAUUGCUGUCUCUCUUUGGGUGAUAUGAAGAUUUUGGAGAAGCACAAGUACUAACGUCCAAAGCUGGAGGUCAUAGCUGUACUCUUGUUUAGUUCAGAGAGACUGUUUUGAAAUGAUACAUUGCUUUUCUUUUUAAUGAGCUGUUGUAUUUUGAUGUUUAUUAGGAGGACGUUAUUAACUUCAUGAAGGUAAGUUACCAGGGCACAUUUCUUUGUUCCAGAAUCCUUCCGAUCUAGUUGUAAUUAUUCAUGAAAGCCUCUGGAUAAAACGGAAAUCCUAAAUUAGUUAAUUGUUUCAAUACUUUGGACUUUGAAUUGAUUUAGUAUGCCUCAUGAAACCAAUAAUUGCACAUCCUCCACUCUUAGAGUCUCAGUGUGAUAUUGACCACGGUACUGCCUGAGCAUUGCAUUCUUCCCACUGGUUGGCUCAUUGGAUUCCAUUCUACUGUUUAACUACUGCUGUUAUGUCAGUUACUAGCUGGCAAAUACUGUUAUUUCUACAAUUGUUUUGAAUAAUAACAAAUUUAUUACUCCUCCAACUUGGAACUGCCAUUGUUUUUUGAAGACUGACCUUCAUUCUUCAUUGAUUUUUUCCACAGCCGAGUAUGUGCUGCCUUUGAUGUUGCUCUCAAGUUUCACAGGAACAUACAAGAGAGGGACAUAGAAGUUGGUAGAAAUGUUGGUAACUGGAUUCUACGUUGGCUUGACCAAAUGAAAGCAUCUGCCCAGAUACGUGGUCCGCCUGAGAAACUGUCACAUGGCUCCAGCAUGAGCAUGACCAACCAUGGAAUGAAGUCCUCGAAUCCAAAAACUCCUGGAGUCCAAACAUCUAAACCAACCUUUUCUACCAUUGCCAUGAUGAUGCGGCAUCCAAGGCCUGCAGGAACCACAACCCAGUAUAGGCAUCUUGAGACAAAUGGAUCUGAUCUGUUGAGUUUGAACUACAAUAGAAAUGGGUUUGAUGGAGUGCUGCGAAAGGACAUUAUGCAGUGGUUGCUGCAAAAGUGAAGGUAGAAGCUUAUCAGACACCUGUUCCUUUCUGGAGUUUUAAUCACCAAUAAUUCAGUUAUAAUAUCUCACUCAAACCGCUCGCAUUAUUGGACUCCUAAAUUUGAAAUUCAUCCAUGCUAGUUAUGGACAUGUUGCUUGAUGCACUAAUUACUGGAGGGCUGCGUGCUGCGAAAGCUGGCAAAGAUAGGUUUUAGUUGUUCUGCUUCUGUACUCAAAGAUAGUAAUUGUUCUCUCCGUUUUCAGUGACUAGGUUUUUUGUUUCCGAACCAGUAACUGCAUAGUUGCUUCUGGUAAUGUUUGUUUGUUUCUUUGUUUGUGAUGCACAUUCCCCCAGAUUGGAAACGGCUGUGGUGAUGGCGAUCAUCUUUCUCUGUACUUGGCUUUGGGAGAUUCCACAGUCGAGGUGAUUAAAGAAUAUAUAUGCAGAGCAUACAUUGCGAAUCAUAGAUCAAGUGGGGGCGAAACAUAA
RNAcentral lists this long non-coding RNA (51299 nucleotides) under Citrus maxima (pomelo). RNAcentral's name for it is "long non-coding RNA (CMAX_LNC001397)". The record is from RNAcentral. Lineage: Eukaryota; Viridiplantae; Streptophyta; Magnoliopsida; Sapindales; Rutaceae.